This 51229-nucleotide long non-coding RNA is filed under the name Citrus x clementina. Its description in RNAcentral is "Citrus clementina (C. clementina) long non-coding RNA (CCLE_LNC000217)". Lineage: Eukaryota; Viridiplantae; Streptophyta; Magnoliopsida; Sapindales; Rutaceae. The record is from RNAcentral.
UUUUCUCUUUCUGCCGUCGUUACUCACUUCUGGUUGUCUUAUGUAACUGAAGAAACUAAAGAUUUCAAUGAGGAAUUGUUCCACGCUUCCAUUUGGUUCACCUUAUUGUCCAUGGCAGCAAUGGCGAUUGCAUUUGCUACGGGCACAUAUGCAAUGUUAGCCCCUUCUUUAGGCCUUGCUAUUAUCACUUGUUUAAUCGGCCUGAGCUUUUUCUUGCUUGCGAUUUGGAUCAUCAGAUUGUCUAAUACUGAGAAGGACAAUAGUAAUUGAUUAUAGUAAGUCACCAUCUUUGUUUAUCAAUAAAAUGAUUGAUUUUCAUUUUAAGAUAAACAUUAAUUAAUUUACUCAAUCUUUGCUAAUAAUAAUCAUUAUUUUAAUUGUACAUUGAUCACUGAUGUUUUAAUGAUAAUUAAAUUUGAGAUCCAGGCCGGUCUACUUUACUGUUAAUGAUUAGAUUGAAUUGGUGAGAGGAAGUCAAAAUCAAAUUUAAUAUUUCAAAUUGUUUGUACUUUCUUAUGUUGAUGGAAUAAAAUCUUAAUUACUUUGUCAAAAAAAUUGAAAAAAUUUAUCUCUUUGUAUAAUGCAUCAUUAGAAAUCUUUAAUUAGACGUGAGUAAAGAAAAUCCAUGAUGCGUGUUUAAGGGUGGUAUUGUAUAUAUAUAUAUAUAUAUAUAUUAGUUUUUUUAAUAAGUUAAGAUAUUGCCAUGAGAAUUUUACUAGUAUUUACAAUUAAAAAAUCUAUUGAAAUUAUUUUUGAUAGAUUUAGUAUGAUACAAUUUAAAUUUCUACUCUCACGUGAUACCAAAGUGAUAUUUGCUCAACUCAUAUUAUUAGAGGAGAAAUCUACUCCUAUCCAACUUAAUUGUAAGGGAAUUUGAGUCCAACAAUAGUUGGGACUCUAAGGUUGUACUAACGGGCUAAGAACAUAAGUACUUAUAUAAGUAAAUAAAAUUUUACCAUUCAAUAGGAUAAUGACACAUCAUUGUAAAGUCAAAUCCUAUAUCACUAAAAUGAGUUGAAUUAAGGCCGAGAAAGACCAAAAGGGAGGGACGUUACUUUGAAGGAAUUAUUGCAACCAUCGAAAACUAAUAAAUGAAAUGGUUGAGGCUUUGGAAGCUCAGGCACAUGAUGGGUCAGGUUCUGUUCAGCCCGUUCAAACUUGGAAAAGUUUAAUGAGCUUAGGCUUGAGCCUGGGCUUGUCCAAUCUCAGCCCAUUCUCCAUCCCUUUUUGGUCCCACCACUGAACAGAAAGGAAUCCCAACUCCGAAUUUAGCCUAAUCAUCUGCUCUCUGCUGAAUUCCACGGAAAUAUGUGUAAACCAAAAACGAAAUGGGAAAUUUACAGUAAUAACCAAAAAAAUUAUGCUUUUUUUCAUCUUAACCCCCCAAAAAUAUUUCUAUCAACAUUAGCCAUUAAACAACUUUUGAGACCAAAACACCCCUCCCUCAUCUCUCCCCCAACACUCCUUUUUUCUCAUCUCUCCCAAACCGAUCCAACUCCCAUCAUCGGCGGCGACAUCAACCCUCGUCGGCGGCAGCUCCAUCUCUCACCGGCAUCCGAUCUACAACCUUCAACAAAACCUAGGUUAGUCAUUUUUCUUAUUUUCAUUAAUUUAAAAUGAGAUUUUAGAAUAAUAAUAGUUAUAGCUUGAGAAUAAUGGUGGUGGUGUUUGUGGUGGUUGAUGGUGUUUUUGGGAGUAUUGUUUUUCGAUUUUGUUGUGGCUUAAUUUUGGGGAUGAAGAGGGAAGGGGGUAGGGUGCGCGCGCGCGCCCAUCGUUGGGCAGCAGCGCGCGCCCAUGCGCGCCCCACUGUCGCACCAAAUCUGGUGCGACAGCAAGCGCAUGUCGCACUAAAAAAUUAUAGUGUUUUUUUUAACGAGUAUUUUUUUUUUCUGUAAACGUAAUGUAAUAAUUUUAUAAAUAUUACAGAUACAUGGCAAAAUCAGAAUCACCGGAUAUUGAUGUAGGCAAGAUGUAUUUUAGUUAUGCCGAUCACUUUCCUGGUCGAAUUUCGAGCAUGUGUAAGUUAUCUUCGGUCAUAAAAGCCAUCGAGGAAAAAUUAACAAAGCGGCCGUUGACUAUGUUAAAAAAGGAUAUAUUUGGGCAUUUCUUGGAGUGUCGAAGUUUUCCAUUUAGUGGGGUAAUUUUGCACAAUCUUUUGCUGAGGCAAGUGGCCCAUGAAGAAGAUAGCCGUGAGGAUCAGUUAUGGUUUCAAAUUGGUGAGCAUUUGAUUCGCUUGUCAAUUGUCGAAUGGUGCUUGGUUACUGGACUUUCAUUUGGUGUUGAUACCAAUCAAAAAAAUGAUGAAAUGGAGCAGAGGCUACGGAAUACGUAUUUUGGUGGUGUUCAUCGUAAGAUUAAUGUGAAGGAAUUCGAUGCAAUAUUUAACGAGUUGAAAUUCGAGGAAAUGGACGAUAUGGACGCAUUAAAGAUUGCGUUGUUUUAUUUUGCGGACCGAGUGCUAAAUGCAAGAAAAAAUCACUGUCAAAUCAAUUUCGAUUGGCUUGACCAAGUUGAUGAUAUACAGUACUUCCGAAAGCGUCCAUGGGGUCUGUUGUCGUGGGAAAUGAUUUACGAGAGUCUUGACAAUGCACUGUUCGAGAAAGACGAGAAAUUUAAGAAGACUCGGUUGAAAAAUCCAGAUCAUAACAUUGAAAAAUACAAUCUUUAUGGCUUUACGUCUGGGGUUCAGGUGCGUAUUUGUUUUUGUUUAUUAAUAAGUUUUAUAGUAUUAAAUAUUUGAUAUGUUGUUUUAUUUAAUUUUUCAAUUUGGUUGUUGUAGGCUUGGAUUUACGAAGCAAUCGGAGGGUUGCCAUCAACAUGGGUCGUCAAAACGAAGAAUAAGAUUCCCCGCAUGUUGCAAUGGAAGCCCAUGGCGUCUUCGAGAAUCAAUUUUACGGAGGUUUAUUCGUUCUUCAACGACGAAUCUCGUCUUGUAAGUAAUAUUUAUUACUUAUUUUUUUAACUUGACUAAAUUUAAGUUAUGUAUACUUACUUAAAAUUUUCAAUUUAAUUUAUUGCAGGGGGAUGUUUUACAAACUCUUGAGCCAAAUUCAAAGGAGAGUAGCAGAAAUUAUUGGGUCUCUGUGAAGGAUUACUUGCCAAGCAUCCCAGGCUAGGUUCUUAAGGUUGGCAUACUCUAAGUACUAAAAUUUUUUAAUUCGAAAUUUUUGACUUUUCAUUUAAUAAUUUUAAAUGAUACUUUAUACAGCACCAACCCUCAAUCAACGCGAUGCCGUCGGUUACAAGGCAAUCAGACGAGCAUGACGAUCAUGACGACAAACCAAACCCAAUACCAGAGCAGCGUCAUGACACUUAUGAGGAUGAGGUGGCUGUUGAUGACCACCAGCAGCGUCAUGACACUUAUGAGGCUGUUGAUGACCACCAGCAGCGUCAUGACACUUAUGAGGCUGUUGAUGACCACCAGCAACAAACAGACAACUCUGAUGACGCACGGGAUUCUGAGGUUAUAAAUAAUAUACGAUAUUGUUUCUUUAUAAAUUAUUAUUUUUUUUGUUAUUCUAAAGUUUUCUGUUUUUUCUUUUGUAAUAGUCGAGGACAAAGCAGUUUCAAGAUUACAUACAACGACGGCUGGAUAAGAUUGAUCGUAACGUGUACGAAAUAAAUUCAGAAUUAAAAGAUUUUAAAGAAACCGUUGUUGGCUUCAUCGACACAUUUUCUAAACGUCCAAAUAAGGAUUCUCCCACUGCACGCUCGUAUGCGGUGAGCAAAUUUAUAUUUAAUAAUUAUGUUCGUUUAACUUUUAAUUUGAUAGUUGUUUAAUAUGUUCUUCUCGGCGAAUGGACAGGCCCCGGAUGACUAUGGAGUGUAUACUGACGUGGGCAAUGAAAAUUUAUCUACGCCCACGUCAUUGUAUAGUUUCUACGGGGAUGUUAGUGGGGAGAGCGUGCAGGUGUACUCUGAGGUGCCUCCCGGCGUUAGUAAGUUCGGCCGCGCGUACAUACCGUCGUAUGUUUAUAACAGUCCUUACAUGAUUCCUCCAGUCAGGCGAAGACAGAACGUCCGGCCUUUGCCUCGACCCCAAAUCUUGGAGCAUGCGAUUGACAUGAGUACGACUGUGGAUAUAAAUCCACUGAGAGGGUUGGAGGACUCUAGUAUGUUUGCUGAGUUUGAUCGAUGGUUCACUGGUGAUAGCAGAGUCUGCCGGAGAGUCCAGCACCCGCGGUCAUUCUUUCAAAUAAUCUUGGGGACAGCUUCGAUGGGAUGGCUAGGCGAUGAGGUAUUUAUAUUUUCGUCGUGAUGUAUACUGUUGUGGAUUUGUGUAUAAAUUUUUUUUUUAAAUCGUAAUAUUUCUGUUUCUCUACAGCAUAUUCACGAGUAUCUCCGCUUGAUUAGCGAGAAACAACGGCAGUACCCAAAUGCCUUACUCCAACGUGUCACACAUACUGACACAUUUUUUUGGGUAACGUGCAUACAAAACGUAUAAAUACUAUUUAAUUUUGUUUUUAAUUAUUGCCUUUAAGUUUUGUUAAUGUAUGCAUUUCUUGGUUAUCUAUGUACUAGGUGUUCUUGAAUCAGUUAUGGAACAACGGGGAUUGUGCGGUCGAUUCAUUAGUAUUCGACGACCGCGUGAAUAGUUAUCUUUGUGGGCGACAGCACACAAUGUCCAAAUCAAUGACGGAUGUCGAUAUGGUAUGUAUUUUAUUGCAUUUUAUAUACAAGUUGUCGAUUUUUCUUAGUUGUUUUUCAAUUUCAUAUAUAACAAACAUGUUUUUUAAUUUUUAUAUACAGUUACUCAUCCCUGUUAACUUGGACGGCGAGCAUUGGGUACUGGCACGAGUAGACUUUCGGAAAAACAAAGUCUGGAUUUAUGACUCAUUACUCACAUGCCGCGACGACAAAACAUACAGAUUGAAAUUAAAGCCACUUGAAGUUAUUUUCCCUCGAUGGUUGGAAUAUGUUGGGUUCUACAACAUCCGACCUGAGUUGCAGAGUGCCGACCCCUGGAAAGUUAUCGCAGUUAGGAGCGCGCCACAACAGGAGCCCGGAACUGGCGAUUGCGGUGUUUUUGUAUUGAUGGUUACGAUGUAUUUAAUGUUCGGGCUUGGAUUGGAGUUUAACGCUAGUCAUGUCGAGUACUUUAGAAAGAAGAUUGCGGUUGACAUAUUUAAUGACGAUAUUGUAUUGUAAACCGUUGUAGUAAUUUGAAUGUUUAAACUUGAAUUUUUUUUUUAAUUUGCGCACUUACGUUUAUAUAAUUUUAAUGCUCACAUUUUAAUAUUUAAAAUAAAAUAAAGUUUUAUGAAAUAUAAGUGUACAAUACACAAAACACAAUAACAUCUAACUUCGAGUCGACGCAAUGGGAUUCUUACAUCGCUUACGAUUAUGGCCCAGUUCAUGACACCGCCCGCAUCUUACAGUCCGCCUGUUAACGUCCUCGCCAGCCGAGGGUAUUCUGAGCUCUUUACGACGGCCGAGUGGUGGUGCCUCAACUGGUGGGUAUACUUGCAUCUCUACCAUUUUAUCUGGAAUUUCCCAAUCAGCCACAUCACCAACUGGCUCUACUGGUUGUGCAUAAGCCAUCGCCAACGAUUCUGUAGUGUAAAAGUCCGAGCAUAGGUUAAUAAAAUCCACCCGGUGUGUUAGACACGCCGCAAUUGCAUGAGCACAUACAAGCUGGUCAAGCUGAAACACUCUGCAUGUGCAAGUUCUCUUUUGCAAGUCAACCAAACCUUCCUUAAGCCCACCGCCUACCACUUGAAAUCGAUGCUGAGACACCGGUCGAACUAUCAUUCUUUCAGCUAUAGUUCUCCUCUCAGUGACUAUUUUAUCCGCCCAUGUUGUUAGCCAAGUAGUCAUUGAUUCAGCCACAUUUUUUCUAUCAUAAAACCAUUGCUGCAUUGUUUUUCUAAAGUGAUCAACAAGAUGAGUAACAGGAAAUUUUUGAGGUUCCCGCAUGAAAGAAUUAACACUCUCCGCGAUGUUGGUGGUAAGUAUGCUGUACCUCCUACCUUCAAACUGAGACCUUGCCCAAUUACACGUACCGACAUUAUUUUCUAAGUAAUCAGCCGCACCCGAGUGGAUCAUCCACAACCCUUCAAGUUGUCUCUUAAAUUCCUCGUGGCCAUAUGCUUUUGCUGCAUUAAUAAAGGCAGGCUCAAAUUGAUCCCAAAGAGCUUUGGACAUUCUAAACUGAGACUUAAUGUUACCUUUGACGUGGUAAAAACAAACGCCAUGAGUUGCAUUGUGAAAUACUUUAAGAACGGCUCUCCUUAUGGCAGUGCAUCGAUCAGAGAUAAUUACCAACUCAGGUCUAUCGCCAAUCACUCCGUGUAACUUCAUCAUAAACCAUUCCCAAGCAUCAUUGUUUUCUGAAUCCAUGAUCCCAAUGGCUAACGGAUACAAUUGAUUGUUACCAUCAAGACAUUUUGCCACGAACAUGCUUCCACGAUAUAGUCCCUUCAGAUGAGUACCAUCUACAGCAAUGACAGGCCGAAUGUACUGCAUAAAACCCUUGAUGGAAGAUCCGAGUGCUACAAAAUAGUACAAGAAAUUACCAUCUCCAUCCUGCUCGAGGUGAGUGACUGUACCCUCAUUAGCUGUAGUUAGUACGUAAGAGUAUUUAGGGAGCAAGUUGUAUGACUCUGCAGGGUUGCCUCGAACUAUUUCAAGACCAACUUCUCUCGCCCGAUAUGCCUGCUGGUAUGUUAACUGAACACCGUAUUCAUGUUGCAUAUCUGCUCUUAUGUCAUUCGGAGUAUAAAUCCUCUUGUCUUGAAUAUAUUUUUCUGCGAUAAUAUGACCGACAACCCGGCUCCUUACUUGAUGACGUCCAUCAACCAAUACCUCAUUAUGACAAGUUUGUACAUUGUCAAUUCUCUUCACCACCCAAGGAACAUUUUGCUCGUUCGAACAUCUAGUUGCUCGAAUACGUCAUUUACAUGAUUCUGAACAACAGUGAGCCUCGAAACGUGUCGUAGUAGACCGUGCAAUCUUGAAAUCAAACUUAUCUCUAAAGGCAACCUUGCGUAGUUGUAAUAUAAACUCAUUCUUCUCAGCAAAUAGCUUACCCACACUGAUAUCAUCUGAAUCACAACUGCUAACAAAGCUUGGAGCAACCAUGUUCGAAGGCAAAGUUGGAGCAAGACUUGUAAGGGGGUCAAUUCGCCUUCUCGAUCGAACCAUAGAAGGACUAGGUCUAUUGCCUCUGUUAUUCACAGGAGUAUUGUCUUCACACUCAUCGUCGUGCUGAAACGACGGAACAUUCGAAGGACCGGCUCCUCCAUCAUCACCAUCAUUAUUGAAAUGAGUGCCCCUCGUAUUAUUAGAAGGUUCUGUACAAACAUUAUCCCCCUCUGUCUCAUGAUGAAAAUCAUCAUUGUCCCGAAAAUCAUUGUUGUGAUACGGAGAAUACCGUUGCUCCAACGACGUUGUUAUUGGAAAUACCGUUGCUCCAACAUCCUCUAACGUAACGCCGUUAUCAUCAAUGUUGUCAUAAUUGUCGUGGAUUGGAGAGUAAUAUUGCUGCAGCGAUAUUGUCCUUGGCAACACCUCUUCAUCAUUAUCGGGGCCAGACAUAUUUGCUCUAAACGAAGUUUCUGUAUCGACAUGUGCCUCAAUACCUUCGCUCGGAACUCGAGGUGAUGUGGUCACGAAUAUAGGAAUGCAUCCAAAAUUGGCUACGUCAGAUGCCAUAUGCAACACAACCCUCACCAUUUCAUCAUCAAAUAUAUCCAUGGGCAGUGCACAUAUACGAUAUAUUGUGUUACUAGACCUCAAAGUUGUCUUCACUGUAAUACUAUAUUCAUUAGGGUUUAUUUGUAACACCUCGUAUACUCUUGCCAAUAACUGAUCAAACAGACAAUUUUUCCCAACCAAAAAAGCUCGAUUUUUACCAUUCACAUACUCCAUACGGCCAUCCUCUAAUGUCUCCCACCAACCAUCGUAACACAAUUCAAGUACAACUGAAUCCAUUAAGCCUGAAAUUAUCAACAAAAAAAAUAAUUGGAUCCGGAUCAAAUUAAUACAGUUUUAAUGAAUCUCCAAGGCUUCGGGCGACAGGCAGCCUGUCGCACCAACUCUUUUUGCGACAGGCACCCUGUCGCACCAAGAGUUGGUGCGACAGGUGCCUGUCGCACCAAGCAAGGUGCGACAGGUGCCUGUCGCCCCUGUAGCUAGAAAUUUUUGGUGCGACAGGCAGCCUGUCGUCAGAUUCACCCACGACUCAGUUAAGCAAGUUCAGAAAAUAACACAUACCACUAAGUGAUGUCGAUUAGUGUUGGAUACGGAUAGAUUAUGAUCGGAUUUCACCUUUACUGUUGUCUUUCGCCGUUGACGUUGGUUGAUGAUUAAGCUGCGUUUGGUUUGACGAUAUGGGAGAAAGAUUGUUGCUUUUGGUCUGUAAAGAAGGGUAAUUUGGGGAGAAAGGCUUGUGUUUGGCUAAUGUUGAUAGAAAAAAGUUGAGAGGGUUAGUUGUGAAAAUAACAAAAUAUUUAUGGUUAUUUUCGUAAAUUUCCCAAACGAAAUCAAGUUUGGAUUCCUAAAGAUUGUGCAAAGCAAGCACAUGAGCUGCUCUAUGGCCCAAAAGGCGAUUUUUGGACCGUCAUAAAGCGGGCAAGGCAAAAUGCCAAUACUUAUCAUUAUACUUUUAGGUAAAGUCUCUAAAUCUCUCGACCUUAGUCGUGAGAUUUGAUCAAUUAAAAUUACAAUUUAGGUGAAGUUUCGAGAUAAUAUUAUAAUAGUUAUUUUUAAUUAAAAUUAAUUACUCUAAAAUAAACUACUAAAUAUAUGCUUUCAAAUUCAAUAUUCACAAAUUCAAAUGAAUUAGGUUGUAUGAUAUAUAUUACAGAGGACUCACUUCUAUAAACCAUUUAAUCUAUCAUAUAUAACGUCAACUGUACUUGUUUGGUUUGCUUAGCCAUCUACUUAUACAUACUAAUUUUAAUAGGAUAAUUUGAUAACUAAGUCUUUAAUGUUUAUCUAAGAUUAAACUACCUCAAAGACUUAGCCGAGUGAUUUUUAAAUAAUUUUACUUUAUUGAUUAUCUAAAUUCAAAUCCUAUGGUAUUGAUUUGGGUUGGCUGAGGUAGAUUCUUUUUAACAAGCACUAAUUAGAAAAAAAAUUAAUAUAUUUAUAUAGAUGACAACUAGUUUUGUAGGUAAAUUCAUUUGUAAAUAUCUUUAAUAAAUUUCAACAAGGUGUUCAAUGUGUGAGAGAUUUGAGAUGAAUUAGAAUGAAACUAAAAAAGAGAGUUUCUUUGAUAAUAUAUUCAUAGUGCGUUUAUUAACUAUGAAUCCUAAUAGGCAAGAAUCAUAAUGAGUUGGAAUCAAAUUGUAGAAGAAUAAAUUGUCUACUUCAAAUACAAGAAUCGAGAUCGAAAUCAACAGUAAUCUAAACUUAAUGUAUUUACUUUAUCUUAAAAUCAGAAUAGAUGGUUGUAAGUCACCAAAAUAGAGUAAAAAGAAAGUUUUAAUUUUCAAUAAAGAUAAACAAUUUUUACACUUUAUUCUCAUUUCUUCAUUCUUAUUCUCGCGUCUUCCAUCUAAAUGAAAUUCCUACUCAUUCCCAAAUUAUGAGACUCACUCAAAAUUUAUUUAUAUUUCUUUAUAUUUCUAGCAAGUAAAUAUUAUUAAUAAUUCUCAUUCCCCAUUUUUUUUCUAAAUCCCAAAAAUAAACAUAUUAAUUACAUUCAUUGCAUCAACAAAAUCAUGUGGUUGUCCUAAAAUUGAUCUAAGAACCCACAUUGAGAAUAUGUUUCCUUCUAGUUUUAUUUUAACUUUCAAAAGACACGACUCCGCUCCCGCAUAGGCUUGGCAAUUUAGUCCGACUCUAUUUUUGGCCCGAUUGACCCGACCCUAAUUUUUAGGGCUUUGACCCGAAUUUUUGAGGUUAGGGUCAAAAUUUUAAGGCCCGAACAAAUUUCGGGUCAGGGUCGGGUCGGCUUUAAGACAUGAGUUUGUUAUUUGUAUAAGAUAUUUUUUUUUAAUGUUGGGUUGUGGAACUAAAUUGUGUGUUUUUAUUUGUAUAAGACAUGAGUUUUUUAUUUUUUAUUUUUUAUGUUGAGUUGUUAAAUUAAAUUGUGUAUGGCUAAAAUGAUUGUGGAAUUACAUUGCGUGUUUUUAAUUUAAUUGCAUUGUGUAUUUUUCAUGUUGGAUUUUGGAAUUGAUUUGUGUGUAGGGUUGAAAUGGUUGUGGAAAGUGGAAUUGAAUUGUGUUUGAAAUGGUUGAGGAAUUGCCGAAUUGGUUAAAAUGUUGGUGAGAAAUGGGCGGGUUAACUAUUUCGGUAGGGUCAGGUUGGGCCCGACCCGAUGUUGACCCGAGCCCGACCCUAACUAAAUAGUGUUCGGGUUUUUUUAGGGUCGGGUUUCAAAUUUUUUUUUUAUUGGGUCAGGUAGGGCUUGGCCAAGCAUGAGCCCGACGCGACCUUUUGCCAUUCCUACUCCCGCAUUCAACCAAUGGCAAGUGGAUAGUUGAUGGGUUGUGAGGAAACCACUUUCGAUUUGGUGAUUGUCCCCCUUAUGACCACAAAAAAAAGGAAAGUGGCUGAAAAAGCAAACUACUCUUUUUUUAAAAAAAAAAAAAAAGAAUUUUGACCGUAGACUCUCUAGUUCCUACUCAUUACGAGUUAAAUUCUCUCGUUACUAGACAUGUCACAUGUAACUGUAAGUUGCAUCAGGGGACCUAUCUCCCUAGUCCCUAGCAAAUAACCAAAACGCACAACAAAAGAAAAGAAACAGAGAGGGGGAUUCAUGAAAUACUAAAAAUUACGGUCUAAUAAAUUUUAAUUAAUAUAUGUACCACAACUGCUAUAAACAAUAACAGAUAAAUUAAGAUUUUUUAUUAUAUAAUGAUUUUUUUAUCAUUCUAAUUUUGACUAAUAGACGAACUUAGGUGGCGUUUGUUUUUUAACUUAAUGACUUAAAGUGACUUAACUUAAUUAAUUAAGUUAAUUAGAGGUGUUUGUUUUUAUAACUUAAUGAGACUUUUUAGAUAAUUUUAAUUUAAUAAAAUAAGCUAUUUUUUUUUGGAUUUUUACUUAAUGGAGAAAUCUGAAUUAAGUCAAUUACUUGCUAAUGUCAAAAAUAUCUCUGUUUUAUAAUUUAGUUUUCAUGUCUAUCCCAAAACUCACCCAUAGACAUUUACCCUACAUAAAAAUAUCCAUGUUUCUUCUUUCUUAUAUUAUAUAAGAUAAAAUUUGAAAUUUAUGGUAUUUUAUAUAAUAAAGUUCCAAAAUAAUUAUGUAUUUACUUGAAUAUAGUUUUACUUAUAAAUGUUAAAAUAUUGUGGUAUUAAUAUAUUAUUUAUUUGAUAUUCAAAUUUAAUAAGGAUACAAAUGUAAAAGUACAUAUUUUCAACUUUUUAAGUUGAAAAAAACAAACAACUUAAUACUUAUUUUUCGAGAUUUAGACGAAAAAGCAAACAUAUUAUUUAGAUUCAGACAUUCAAAUCUAUUCAGAAUUCAGAUUAAUUCAGGUCUAUUCAGAUUUCAGACAAAAAAACAAACGCCACCUUAGUCGCUGUUUGUUUUUUUUACUUAAUAACUUAAUUGACUUAAUUUUAAUAAAUUGAGUUAUUAAUUCUGUUUGUUUUUUCAACUUAAUGUAGAUUUUCAGCAAUUAAGUUAUUAAGCAAAUUUUUUUAGUUUUUUACUUAAUCUAAAAAGUUUGAAUGCUAUCAUUAAAAGAUAUUAAAUAUCCCUAUCUAAUUAAUUAAUUUUCAUCAUUAACUAAAUAAAAUUUACUAAUUAGCAUUAUUACCCAUCUGUGCACAACUUCUGAUAAUAUAUAUAGUGGUAGCCUAUUAUUUUUUUAUUUUUUUAUUUUGUUUAAAUUAAUAUUAUUUAUCUUCAUAAUUUUAUAUGAAUAUUUUUCAUAUAAAAACAUCACAAACUAUAAUAAAAUUGAUUAACAUAUAUGAUAUAAAAUAUUAAAGAGUUGUACCCAAUUGAAUAUGAUUUAUGUUAUGAUAAUUUAUUAUCUUAUUUAUAUUCUUUGAGAUGUUUAUUAUUUGUAAGGGCAUAAAUGUAAAAAUAUUAGUUUUUAGAUAUUUUAAGUCAAAAAAGCAAACAACUUAAUAUUUAUUUCUAAUUACUCAGACAAAAAAAAAAACAAACAAUCAUGUUAUUCAUAUUCAGACAUUCAGCUCUAUUCAGAAUUCAAACUAAUUCAGAUUUUUAACCUUUAUACAACUUUGUAUUAUCAUUCAUAUUUUAAAUGAACAAUUUAUUAAAAUUAUAAAUAUAAUUAUUAUUAAUAAAAUAUCACUCCAUUGUUAGUCUAAUGAUCUUUUGUUCAUCAGAAAAUUACAAAGGAGUGGUUGUAAAUCCCCUAUCUUCAAAAAGGGCAAAAAAAAAAGUCCAAAUCAAUAUUAUACUACUUGUCCCAUUCAUAGAAUUAUUGCUUCUCUUGUUCUUCACUUCAAAAUUAAGCGUACUGUGCAUCCGAGAUACUAUUCACCCUUGCCUAAUGGAUCAACUUCGCCAACAUGAAUUCUGUUUCCAAUGAGAUUGAGGAAGCUUCAUUAUUGGACAACAAUGGCGAGAUCAGUCAGUCGCAAAUAGACCCAAAUUUGUUCAAAGCCACAGCUGCGGGCAAUUCGGAGCCCUUCAAAGAUAUGGCAAGAGAGGUAAUUAAGAGCAUGUUAACAGCAAGACCAAGAACACAAUCCUGCAUAUCAAUAUCAAAUUGCAAAAGACAGAAAAUGUGUCAACCAAGUUUGUAGGAGAAAUACUUGAGAUAUGCCCAUCGCUGGUACUGCAAGUUAAUGCCAAAGGCUAUUCUCGAUCACUUCUUGUUGUGGCAAAAUUCGGCCAUUGUGAUAUGGUGGGUGUUCUUAUUGAAAUAGCAAAAUUAGUUCAACACGAAGAUGAAGAGCUCGAAUGUGGGGUAGGAGCCUCCAGGCAGAUGAUUAGGAUGACGAAUGAAGAGAAGCAUACAGCUCUUCGCGGGGCAGUAUUUGAUAAAAAUGUCGAUGUGGUGAAAAUACUGACGUGAGAAGACCCUAAUUAUCCAUAUCUGCAAAUAAUUACAUCAAAAUGCCACUUUGCAUGGCUGCUGAGUAUGAGCACUCUUCUCAUAUGGUGGUUGCCAUUUUGAAAAACUGCACAUCAGUGUCCCAUAUAUGAAGGCCCCAAUAGAAAGACAUGCUUUACAUGCUGCUACAAUGCACAUUGAUUUAUGUAAGUUUAAUCAUACCCUUUCAGUAGGAAUUUCAAUAUUGAUAUCUUUUUUCUGCACGAACUUUGUUCAUUCUGUUUCCAAUAAUCUUGGAGUGUUGUUUUAAUUAAGUUUGCAGUUGGCACAAGGGAAUUAUAUUUAGUUGGACACUAGAGUUUAAAUUCGAGGUUGGAUGUUAAAAAUUUAAUUUGAGUUAUAAUUUUAUUCAUUUUUUGUCUUAGUACUCUCAAAAGAGAAUGAUCGUGCAAUUCAACAGUUAUUUGAAGGAAAGAAGAGUAUGAUCAAAGAAAUAGACCUGUGUGGGUAGACUCCAAUUCAUUACGCUGCAUAUCAUAGAAAUUACUUGAUACUUAAGCUAAUAUUAAAGAUUGAUCGAACUGUACCAAAGAUUGCUGACAAAGGUCGAAAGAUGAUGGCUCUUUAUUUGGCAGCGGGCCGAGGGGAUGCCAGAAUAGUGAGUUGAAGCAAUUAUUUCCAGAAAUCCAGAAUGUUAUGAACUGGUUGAUAACUGGGGAUGGAAUUUUCUUCAUUAUGCUCUGUUUAGUUUUGAAGUUGAAGAAUUAAGAAAUCUUGUAGAUAAUAUGUUAGCAAGUAGCUUUAUGAAUGAGGGGGAUGCCAAGGGGAACACUCUUGUCCAUUUUUUUGCUGCUGUCUAUCGAAAAGAAAUCUUUGACGAUUUAUCUGGAAGAGUAAAGGCAACUAUCAAGCCAUCAACAAGCAUAAUGUUAGCGUUGCAAAAUGUAGGACCAUAGCUAUCUUGAGCUCAAGGUGACUGCUGUGAAACUAAACUGUUACAAUCUAGUUUAUUUUGUUUGAAUUAGUCAAGAAUAAGUCAGUUUAUUUGAAUAAGUCAAGUCAAAGAUGAUUAGCCACGUUGUUAACCACUUCGCUGAUUUUUCUACUCAAAUUAUUCCUAGUUUUGCUCAUGGCAGUUGUACUGCACCUGUAUAUAAACAUUCUUUGUUUAUGAAUAAAAGGCCGCUAGCAAAUUACUUCACUCUUAACUGAGCAAUUGGAGGUGCUAACCCCUCGAAGAGUUAGCAAAUUGUGCUUGUGUCUUGUUUUUUCUUAAAUAAACAACUGUGUGAGUAACAUCUGGUAUCAGAGCUAGGCAUGGAGCUAUGGGAAAGGGUUGAGAAAUUAGAAAAAAACAUAGAGGAGAUUGUUGUUGGCCAGAAAGAACUUUUAUGCCAUGUCAUAGAGAGAUUGGAGAAGUUAAGUCAACAAGUUUCUGGCAAAAGCACUUAUGAAAUGGGAGAGAGUUCAGCUCAAACUCAAAGAAAUUUAGAGGGCAAUCCCCGCAUUCAUCACCAAUCAAGACCACUAGUUUAUUGAGCAGCAUCAUUCCAAAGACUGUCAAGCUUGAUUUUCCUCGUUAUGAUGGAAAUGAUGACCCUAACACUUGGGUAUGUAGAGCUGAAAAGUAUUUUUCCUCCACGACAUCGCAGAAUCAGACAAGGUGACACUAGUUUCAUUUUACUUGGAGGGCGAUGCUCAGCUAUGGUUUCAAAUGCUGGAGCAAGAAAUGCUUAAAAUCACCUGGAAGAUUUCAAGAAUGGGAUAUUUUCUCGAUUUGGCCUCAACCAAUUUGAAGACCAUUUUGGUGAAUUAAUUAAGCUACGGCAAACUGGCACGGUGGUGGAAUAUCAAGGCCAAUUCGAAAAACUGUUGGCAAAAGUUGGGCACUUAUCACAAGACCGAAACGUGAGCUGUUUUCUAACUGGGCUUCGAGAUAUAAUUCGAACUGAUGUGCAAGCUAAUAGGCCAACAACUUUAACCAUGGCCAUUAGGUUAGCAAGAUUAUUUGAAGCUCGUAAUUCAAAUCAAAAGAAACUUACUUCCCAAUCUUUAAGACCCAUAAAUUAAGUAAAAUUUCAAACUCGUGGUCAAGCGUCAUCGACGAUGGUUAAAAGGAUGACAUCUAAGGAACUAGCUGAAAGAAGAUGAAAAGGAUUAUGUUUUCACUGUAAUGACAAAUUUAGCCCUGGACAUGUCUGUAAAAAACUUUUUAUGAUCGAAGCUUGUUGGGAGGAAGUAGAUGGAGACGUGGUGAUGGAAGCUGAAGAGACAACUAAUGAACCUGAAAUUUCAUUCCAUGUGAUGGCUGGCUUUCAAUCGCCAACAACAAUGAGAAUCUGGGGAGGGCUCGAAGGGCACUCUGUGAUAGCUAUGGUCGACUCCGGCAGUACACAUAACUUCAUCAGUUCCGAAAUGGCUCAACGUGCAAAUCUCCAACCAACUACCUACGGCAGAAUGAAUGUAAUGGUAGCUUCAGGUGAAAGACUAAUCAGCCCAGGGAAGUGUUCACAGGUUCCAUUAAAAUUGCAAAAGUUAUUAUUUUCAAUAAACUUUUUCAUUUUACCUUUUCAAGGAUAUGACAUUGUUCUUGGUACUCAGUGGCUAAGAUCUUUAGGGCCUAUUCAAUGGGACUUUGAAAAACUACAGAUGAAGUUUGUUUGGGGAGGCAAAGAAGUAGUUUUAUGUGGGCUCACUAGUUCAUCUCAGAAGAUCAGUGAUAUUGUUCCUGCCACAAAAAUUACAAUAGGACAAAAAGGGGUUGUCGUUCAUAUUAUGCAGGGGGAAGAUGCGAAGGAUGAAAAAGACUUUAUUCCAACACCAGUUCAGCAACUUCUGCAAGGGUACCAGGAAGUAUUAAAUGAACCUAUUGGUCUCCCUCCUCGACGAAUUCACUAUCAUCGAAUUCUUCCUUUACCAGGACGAGGACCAGUUGCAGUAAGACCAUACAGGUAUCCUUAUUUUCAGAAGAAUGAGAUCGAGAAAAUUGUCAAAGACUCGAUGACUGCUGGAAUUAUUUGCCCUAGUACCAGCCCUUAUUCUUCUCCUGUCUUGUUGGUUAAAAAGCAUGAUGGUUCGUGGAGGAUGUGCGUCGACUACCGAGCGUUGAAUCAAAUUACAGUCAAAGACAAAUUCCCAAUUCUCGUGAUUGAUGAACUCUUCGAUGAAUUAGCAGGAGCUCAUUUUUUUUUAACAAAAUUGGAUUUACGCUCAGGCUACCAUCAAGUCAGAACGCACCCAGACGAUGUCGAGAAAACUGCAUUUCGAACACAUGAAGGCCAUUAUAAAUUUUUGGUAAUGCCGUUUGGGCUUACCAACACUCCAUCCACCUUCCAAGCACUUAUGAAUGAGGUAUUCCAAGAGUUAUAACGAAAAUUUGUACUUGUUUUUUUUAUGAUAUACUCAUUUAUAGUAAGGAUUGGAAUACUCAUAUGGAACAUUUUUGAAUUGUUUUUGACAUCCUAAAAGCUAACAAGUUGAGAGUGAAGCUUGAAAAAUGCCGAUUUGGGAAAGAAGAAGUGCAGUAUCUAGGACAUAUUAUUUCAAAACAGGGAGUUGCUGCUGACCCAAGCAAAAUUGAAGCAAUGAUGUCAUGGCCGAAACCAAGCACAUGUAAAGCCUUACGUGGGUUUCUUGGACUCACAGAUUCUUUUCAAAGGAGUCCGGCUUCGGAGGAGGCUUUUCAAAAGCUCAAGAUAGCCAUGACGCAAGCCCCUGUAUUAUCUCUUCUUGACUUUUCAAAAACCUUUAUAGUUGAAUGUGAUGCUUCUGGCCAUGGAGUUGGUGCAAUUUUAUUACAGGAGAGACCUAUUGUGUAUUUCAACCAAGCACUUCGAGGAAAACAUCUUCUUCUUUCUACAUACGACAAGGAGAUACUUGCAUUAGCAUUGGCAAUACAGAAAUGGAGGCCAUACUUACUAGGCAAACAAUUCAUCGUCAGGACUAAUCAUCAAAGUCUUAAACAUCUGUGGUCCCAAAAAAUCGUAACUACAGCUCAACAGAAAUGGCUAUACAAAUUCAUGGGAUAUGAUUUUAAAGUGGAGUACAAGAAGGGAAAAGAGAAUGUCGCGGCUGACGCUCUCUCGCGAAGUCAUGAACAACCACAAGGUGUUGUGUUUGCCAUUUCCCAGUUGCUACCACGAUGGCUUGAGGUGAUUCAAGAGGAGGUUGCUGUUAAACCUAUAUUACAAGACUUGCAAAAAAAAAAAUCCAGCAAAGGGAAGCAUUGGAGCCAUGGAAAUUGAAUAAUGACAAUAUUUUCUUUAAAGAUCGUAUUUAUCUAUUGGAGGAUUUAGAACUUGUGAAAGCCAUUAUCAAAGAAUUUCAUGGAAGCACCCACGAAGGCUAUGUGAAGACUUUACAACGCAUUAAGGAGAAUUUUUAUUAGAAGAACAUGAGGAAGCAGAUUAAAGCAUUCAUACGCAGUUGCGACAUUUGCCAACGCCACAAAACAGAGCAAUUGGCUGCUGCUUGGUUGUUACAUCCCUUGCCAAUCCCGCAACAAGUUUGGGAAGAUUUAUCCAUGGACUUUGUUGAGGGGUUGCCGGCAUCCAACAGUAAGACAACCAUCUUUAUAAUUGUUGAGAGGUUAUCAAAAUAUGCUCACUUUAUUCCUCUCGCCCAUCCUUAUACAGCUGUGGGAGUAGCCAAAUUGUUCUUUGAAAAUGUUUUUAAACUUAAUGGUCUUCCAAAGUCAAUUGUAUGUGACAGGGAUCCAACGUUCACUAGUGCAUUUUGGAGGGAGUUGUUUUCGGUUAAAUGGGACUUCUUUCAAUUUUAGUUCCAGUUACCAUCCACAAACUGAUAGGCAAAGUGAAGUUGUGAACCGAACUCUGGAAAUGUAUCUAAGGUGCUUCACAAGCUCAAAGCCUAAAGAUUCGAUGCGUUGGCUUCCGUGGGUUGAAUAUUGUUACAACACCAGCUGGCAUUCAACAAUAAAACGGACUCAUUUUGAAGUUGUUUAUGGCAGGAGCCCUCCUAGAUUGCUAAGUUACAUUCCUGGUACAGCUCGGGUGGAGGCAGUAGAAAAAGAAUUGCUACAGAGAGACAAAGUUCUUAAGACAGUACAUGAAUGUAUACAGCGUGCUCAGGACAAGAUGAAAAAAGUUUAGGACUCCAAACACAGAGAUAAAGAAUUUAAUGUGGGGGAUUGGAUGUACUUAAAGUUGCAACCUUACAGACAUAUGUCUCUUAUUGGAAGGAAAAAUUUCAAGCUUUCGGCCCGAUUUUAUGGCCCUUAUCAGAUUUUGGAAAGGAUUGGAAAGGUAGCCUAUCGGCUUAAGCUUCCCACUUUAUCCAAGAUACAUCCAGUAUUUCAUGUUUCUAUGCUCAAAGCAAGGAUUGGUCAAGAGUGUGAAGUACUUGAAGAUCUUCCCGUGUUGAAUCAAGAAGAAGAGUUAGUCCCAAUUCCACAGGCGUUACUGGACCAGCGAAUUCGAAAGGGGAAAAAGGAAGUUCUAGUUCAUUGGAAAGGCUAUCUCCAGCAAAAGCUACAUGGGAAGUCCAUGAUUUGAUUCAGGAAAUGUUAUCCAAACUUCAUCCUCGAGGACAAAGAUGUUUUUUAAGGGGGUGGCAGCUGUUACAAUCUAGUUUAUUUUGUUUGAAUUAGUCAAGACUAAGUCAGUUUAUUUGAGUAAGCCAAGUCAAAGAUGAUUGGCCACGUUGUUAACCACUUCGCUGAUUUUUCUACUCAAAUUAUUCCUAGUUUUGCUCAUGGCAGUUGUACUGCACUUGUAUAAACAGCUAUGUGAGUAACAUAACCUUAUUGACACCAGAUUAAUCUCACCCCCAAGACCUAAUUCAGACUCCAAGAUUAAGAAACAAAUCCACACAAGUCGUAACAAUCACCAGAUCAAAGAAAACUAACACAAAGAGCCAAGAACACACAAAGAAUUAAGUGGUUUAGCACCUUUUACAGUGCCUACAUCCACUGGAGAAAACAACUCAGGGAGCAACUUUAUUAAGCUUCAAGGUUACAGAGGUGAUAGCUAGCAAUAUCGAGAACACUCAGAAAAGCUUAACUCUCACUAAAGCUUCUUUAUCACUAUCAAUGUGAUUCCUCUAGACUAAACCAGAACCAGCCUAUAUAUCUGUUGUUGCUGGUUUACAGAUCCAGAAAAUUCCCUCCAAAAUCAACAACCUCAACUAACUGAUCACGGGCUUCUCACGCGCAGCUUAAAGCCUUCCUUAAACGACAACAAGCCAUGCCGUUUAAGCUUUAGAAUAGGCGUGCGUUAACCACGUGACUGUUUAAUGAUUUUGGACGACAUCACCAAGUUGUCGGUUCUGGAUUCUCAGUCAGCUGAAAUGACAUGUCACUUGUUUUCCAACCUUUAAACGACAAGUUGUUUGACAAGUUUGAGUUCAUUUCAACAGUGACUAAUUAUUAUUUUUUGUUUAAAUUGUAUAUUAAUCUAUUAAUUAAUAUUAAAAUGUAAAUUGCAGGAAAAAAUUCAAAAAUUAUGCAAAGAUGUUGACAGAGGACAAUAUUCAAAUGGUGUUGUAUUCAUAAUAUUAAUUUAUUAAUUAAUAUUCACAUCUGUUAGUGGUUGCAUUGAUAGCAAUAUAGCCUUCGCAGCAGCUUUCAUUAUUACUGGUGGUUAAAAACGCAAAAAUGGCACUGCAAUCCUGUGGGGAAAUACAGCUUUUCAGGCAUUUAUGGUAACAGAUACCAUUGUCAUGAUCCUUUCUCUUUCUGCCUUCUUUAUUCACUUCAUAGUAUCUCUUGAGCUUGAAGUAAUCAAAAAAUUCGAUGAUGAUUUGUUGGCUGCAUCCAUUUGGUUCGCCAUCAUUUCCAUGGGAGCAAUGGUGAUUGCCUUCGUUAGGCCUUGCCAUUAUUACUUGUUUAAUUGGCUUAGAGCUAUUUCUUCUUUGCGUUUUUGGUCAUCAGAAGAUAUUUCAGUGAAAAAGAAAAUCAUGGGUAAAGAAAUCGUCACUGGAAAAAGAUAUACUCCAUCUUUUUAGCAAGGCUCGAACUCGAGACUUAAGUUUAAAGGAGGCUACUCCUUAUCGGAUGUUGCAAAUUUGCAACCAUCAGAACUAAUAAGUGUUAUGUUAGCUCCUUUUUUAGACCUGCCCACUGUCACUUGUUUAAUUGUGUUGAGAGUAUUCUUCCUUGUGUUUGGCUUCAUCAAAAGAUAUAUCUGUAAGAAAUCGCUAAAAAGAAAUUGCUUCCUUUCAUAAAAUAAACAUACUAUUCAUAAACGGUUUAUUGCUCACCGUAUUUUCUUUCUUUCCUUUUUUUUUCCCCUCUUUAAAGGUAAUCUUUAUUUCCUAAAUUUAUAUUAAUUUAAGCAAAUCUUAAUUAAAAAAGAGAGUUGGUGAACAAAUAACUUUGCAAUUUUGGAAGAAAUUAAAUAUAAAAAUUUCAUUGUUAAAUGCAUUCGGCGGAUUUUUCGUUUUCAUGGAUGGGGAUAAAAUGAUAAUAUUUUUGUAGAACUUUCUAAAAUAUUCUUACGCUAAAAUCAUAUUGAUAGUAUUUUUUUUUUUUGUUUUAAGAUGUUUUUAGUAUACGUCUGACACCAACUUAAAAUUAAAAUUAAAAUAAAACUCUCAACUUUUUAAUAGCUAAUUAAAAAAAAUAGUGAUGAGAAUGAUCUUGAUAAGAUAAUGCCUACAAAUAUAACAAAAACAGUCAAAUGGUUAAUUUUAAUGACGUAUACCCUCUAAUUAUCAAGUCAAUCACCAGACUUUUAAAAAAAUAAAAUUUAAAGAGAUAAAACCUAGAGAGAGAAAGACAUCUCUAGCGCCUAUCCUCCAAGAUCUUUGUGUCUAAGGUCACUUUCUUCCAAGCCUUCCAUAUACCUUGCUCUAGAGGAGCCCGAAUCAAGUUCAUCGUCACAACUUCAUCGUCACUAGGAUCGCUUGAGUUCUACCUUUCCUCAACUUGAGCUUGGAAUUGAUAAAACAUUCUAUCAAAGUUCUAAGCUAAUCAAUCCACUUUACUUUGGAAUCAAGCUUGCCCAUGUAGCUGGCCAUCAUGAUGUGGAUUGGGAUAAGGAUGAACGAGUACCAUGGCUUCAAAUGAUGAAUCCAUCAAUGGUCUUCUUCCUUGAGAAUGGGCUUCCUCAACCCUAGAACUCACCAUAUUCGAACACAAUGUCAUAAUGCUCAUAGCUCACAUCCAUUCUCUCAGUAGAGUUCCAAGACUUUUAGUUAGAAGUCCUCAUAAACGACGCCAAUUUGCUCGUAAAAUUUGUCCCAGUUUAUUAAAUGGUAAUUUCAUGAACUUUCUCUUUAUUAGAUCAAACUUUGUUGAACUCUUGAUGUGGGCUUCUCAUGUUGUGCCUUUUAUUUUCUGAGUUCAAUUGCACUCAUUUGGAUUUUUUCCUAAGAGUAAGAGGUAUCUAUUUUCUUAGGUGACGGGAUAACCUUAAUUAGAUAAUGUGCUAUAAACAUAAGAAAAACAGUCAAAGGGCCGACUUUAGUGGCGUAAACCCUUCGACAAUCAGGUUAGUCAUAAAAUUUUUAGAGAGAUAAAAGUUUAAAGUGAGAAAAUUUAGAUUUUUUGUUAAAAGUUUUUCACUUUUGAAUGUAAAGAAAAUAUUUGACAUUUACUCAAAUUAUCAAUGCAAUUAGAUUUUUUGUUAAAAGUUAUUAAUAAACAAAAGUAAUUAAAAACAUAAUUAGUCGUUAAUACCCAAGUAACUUAACAGAUCCUAGUUAUAUAUAGUUGAUUUACUCAACCAUUUAGCAAACAAUAUUUGUUUUCUCUCAAUUAAUUGGUGAAAACUAUAAACGAAAGAGAGAGACGGAACACUUAAGCAAAACCAUCCAUCUAAUUACACCAACAGAACAAGAACCUUCAUUGCUAAAAUGUGAACACACACACACACAAAACCUUCACUUUUAAUCCAUUUAUUGUAUAUGUGAAGCUGUUGAGUUAGUUGUAUUCUGUUAAGAUAGUUGCUGAUGAGGUGGCAUCGUAUGGGCCAGCAUGUGGUAAAUUAGUUAUGACUAGGAGCUGUAUAAAAACACGAUAUUAAGGCUGAUCAUUGAGCAUUCUUUCUAGUUGAGUUAAGAGGCUAUUACUAAGAGUUGAGUUCUUAGUAGAAGGGGAUUUGUUCUCUGUAAUCUGUAGUCCAAUGUAAUCAACUAUACACAAUAAAGUUUCACGCCCAGCUUGGGUUUUCUUCAGCCAUAGAUGUAGGUACUCUGGUACCGAACCACGUAAAUUCUUCUUCAUUGUUUAUCAUUUGUUUUUGUUUCUUCCUCUGUUCUUGGUUUGUCUUUGUGAAUCUUGGUUGUUAGAUAAGUGUUGUUAUCUUCUUUUCUUAACAAAUUGGUAUCAGAGCUACGAAGCACUCUGUUCUUGAUCUUCAAGGAUGGGAACCACUAGAUUUAACCUUGAGAAAUUCAAUGGAGAAAACGACUUCUACCUAUGGAGUCUAAAAAUGAGGGCCAUCUUGAUUCAACAGGGCUUAGACAGUGCCCUUGAUGGUGAGGAAGAACAGAAGUCCAAGAAAGAGAGGGAGGAAGGCUCUUCAAGUUCAUGUGGAGACUUGAGGACCUUAAACAAUAAAGCCCACAGUACGAUCAUCCUUCACCUGUCUGAUGAGGUACUGAGAGAAGUAGCAAAAGAGAAGUCAGCAUCUGGGUUAUGGGCAAAAUUGGAAGAGCUUUUCUUAAAGAAAUCUCUGGCUAAGAGGUUGUACAUGAAAAUGAAGCUUUACACAUUCUCAAUGAAAGAGGGGAUAGCUAUAAGAGACCAUGUUGAUGAGUUCAACAAGCUCAUACUCGAUCUUGAAAAUGUUAAUGUCAUGCUUGAAGAUGAAGAUAUGGCUCUCAUCUUCUUAAGCUCCUUACUAAAUUCUUAUGAACACUUCGUGGAUACUCUACUCUAUGGUAGGCAAACCCUCACCUUAAAAGAUGUCAAGAAUGCUCUUGAAUCUAAAGACUUGAAGAAAAGAGCAGAUGACAAAGAUCAGAUCACUGGGGAUGGAUUAGUUGCCAAAGCAAAGACAGAAAAGAAGAUGUACAACGAUAAGAAAAACAAAAAUCAGAAAGAGAAGACUGAUAAGAUGAAGAAGAAAAGAAAAUGUUACUUCUGCCAAAAGGAGGGACAUUAUAUAAAAGACUGUUUUGAGAAAAAGAAGCUAGAGAAACUACAAAAGGAGACAAGUGGGAAAGUUGAUAUCGUGUCAAUAGAUGAAUGAGAGUCAGAGGAUGCAGAUGUUCUCAUUGCUGCAAAUAAGAAGUUUUCUGGUGAGUGGAUACUUGACUCAGGGUGUUCUUUCCAUAUGUGUCCCCAAAAGGAUUUCUUUGUAACCUUUGAAAAGGUUGAUGGUGGAAGAGUUUUACUUGGGAAUAAUCUUGCUUGUAAGGUUGCUAGUAUAAGAUCAGUUAGCAUUAAAAUGCAUGAUGGUAGAGUCAUAAGCUUAGAACAAGUCAAAUAUGUUCCAAAGCUUAAAAGAAACCUUAUAUCCUUAGGGAUGAUAGACCAAUUGGGCUGUAGUAUAAAGGCUGAAAAUGGAGAACUACAGAUCAUUAAAAAGGAUACAGUCUUAAUGAAAGGUUGUAGAAGAAAUGGACUGUACAUUCUUAAUGCUCAAUAGUGUUACCUGGGGUUAACAGUGUAAGUGGUGAUAAAACCAGACUAUGGCACAUGAAGUUAGCUCACAUGAGUGAAAAAGGUUUAAGGGAGCUUAGUAAACAAGGAUUGCUAGGUACUUAUCAAAUCUCACCACUACCACUAUGUGAAAAGUGUGUGUUUGGCAAAGCAACUAGGUAAAGAUUUAAUCCAGGAAAGCAAGAAACCAAAAACACCAUGGAUUAUAUCCAUUCAGAUUUAUGGGGACCCUCUCAGGUUUUAUCUCAUGGUGGUGCCAGAUACUUCAUUACAUUUAUAGAUGACUUUUCUAGAAAAGUCUGGGUUUAUGUACUAAAGCACUAGAGAAGUUUAAGGACUGGCUAACUCUAAUGGAAAACCAGACAGAGAGGAGAGUGAAAAGGUUAAGAACAGACAAUGGGUUAGAAUAUUACUCAAAUGAGUAUCUGGGCAGAAGGGGAUAGCAAGGCACAAAACUGUAAGGCAUACACCUCAGCAAAAUGGGUUGGCAGAAAGGAUGAACAGGACCCUAGUUGAAAAUGUGAGGUGCAUGUUGUUCAAUGCAAAUAUGUCCAAACAUUUCUGGGCAGAAGCUGUCACUACAGCAGCUUACUUGGUCAAUAGGAGCCCUUCAUCUGCCCUGCAGUUCAAGACUCCUCAGGAAGUUUGGUCAGGAAAGCCACCAGACCUCAGCAAUCUCAGAAUCUUUGGCUGCCUUGCUUAUGCUCACAUUAACCAAGGAAAGUUAGAACUAAAGGCCAUAAAGGGUUACUUCAUUGGGUAUCCAGAGGGUGUUAAAGGGUUUAAAAUUUGGUGCAUUAAUAGAAAACCAUUUAGAACCCUUAUAAGCCGAGAUUUUGUGUUUGAUAAAGAAUCAAUGCUGCAUCAAAAGGUAGAAACUGAGCUUACAGCAACUGAUUUGGAUAGAAAUGAGGAAGACAACAACCAGAAGGUGGAGACCAGUGAGGAAUCUGAGGUCACAGAGAAGGAUUCCAGAACUAAUCAGAGAGUACACAACAACUUGAAAUUGGAUGAUUAUCAACUGACAAGAGACAGACAGAUGAGAGUCAUUAAGCUACCAAAAAGGUAUGGCAUAGCUGAUAUGGUCUCUUAUGCCCUAGCAGUAGCUGAAGAAGUUAUUGGUGAAGAGCCUACAAACUACAAACAAGCCAUGAGCAGUAAAGAUAGAAAAAAAUGGUUGGGUGCUAUGAAUGAAGAAAUCAUCUCACUCAAGAAAAAUAACACAUGGAUUUUUGUCAAGAAGCUGGUAGGAUGCAAAUGGAUCUAUAAAAUUAAAAAAGGGACUGCUGAUGGAGAGCUUCCUAGACAUAAGGCAAGAAUUGUGGCUAAGGGGUUCACACAGAAGCAUGGAGUGGACUUUAAUGAGGUAUUCUCCCCUGUUGUUAAAUAUAGUUCCAUAAGAGUUCUUUUGGCAAUAACAGCAUUCAAUGACUUGGAAUUGGAUCAAAUGGAUGUGAAAACUGCCUUCUUGCAUGGGAGUUUAGAAGAAAAAAUUCUCAUGGAACAACCAGAGGGGUUUGUUGAAGAGGGGACUAAAGAUAUGGUAUGCUUGCUGAAGAAGAGCUUGUAUAGACUGAAACAGUCUCCCAGGCAGUGGUAUUUGAGGUUUGAUGAGUUCAUGAUCAGCCAUGAAUUCUGCAAAAGUCAAUAUGAUAGCUGUGUGUAUUUUAAAACCUUACCUUCUGGAGAUGGCCUUUACCUCAUCCUCUAUGUUGAUGACAUGCUUAUUGCAUGUAAAAGAAGAGAGGAGAUAGAAAAGCUAAAGUUGGAAUUGAAUUCAGUUUUUGAAAUGAAAGACCUGGGGACUACUACAAGAAUUCUUGGGAUGCAGAUUGUGAGGGACAGAAAUUCAAGAACUUUGUUCCUUACUCAAGUUUUAUAUGUUAAAAGGGUUCUUAACAGAUUUAAAAUGAGUCAUGCAAAACCUGUAUCAGUACCAUUGUCAGCACACUUCAGACUUUCAAAGCUCCAAGAACCAGAAGAGGAUAGAGAUAUUGAACAUAUGAAGACAAUGCCUUAUUCUAGUGCAGUUGGCAGCAUUAUGUACUCCAUGGUUUGUAUAAGGCCUGAUAUAGCUCAUGGAGUAGGAGUUGUUAGCAGGUUUAUGGGGAAUCCAGGUAGAGAACACUGGAAUGCUGUCAAGUGGUUAUUAAGGUAUCUAAGUGGUACAUCUAAUCAUGGAAUUUUGUUUGGAAGUUCUGAAGCUAAAGUAUGCCAAGUAUCAGGGUUUGUAGACUCAGAUUUUGCUGCUGAUAUAGAUAAGAGAAGGUCUAUUACAGGGUAUGUUUUCAUUUUGAAUGGAGGGGCAGUAAGUUAGAAAGCAUCUCUCCAGUCAGUUGUUGCUUUGUCCACAACUGAAGCUGAGUACAUUGCAUUGACAGAAGCAGUAAAAGAAGCAAAGUGGCUGAGUGGACUAGUGUCUGAGUAUGGAUUGAAACAGGAUUCAGUUUGUAUUGGCUGUGACAGCUCCAGUGCAAUUCAGCUCAGCAAGAAUCCCAAGUAUCAUGAAAGGACAAAACACAUUGAUGUUAGGCUGCAUUUUAUCAUGGAUGAGAUUGCUAAUGGUGUGGUUAAUGUUGUCAAGGUUCCUACUUUAACAAAUCCAGCUGAUGUUUUAACUAAAGCAGUUCCCGUAGUCAAGUUUAGAAACUCUCUGAACUUGAUUGGUGUUGAUAGUUUGUGAAUCAAGCUAGUAGUUGCUGAAGAUAUAAGUGAAGUUUUAAAUUUACAGAAUGAACUAAGGUGGAGAUAUGUGAAGCCGUCGAGUUAGUUGCAUUCUGUUAAGAUAGUUGCUGAUGAGGUGGCAUCGUGUGGGCCAGCAUGUGGUAAAUUAGUUAUGACCAGGAGCUGUAUAAAAACACGAUAUUAAGGCUGAUCAUUGAGCAUUCUUUCUAGUUGAGUUAAGAGGCUACAACCUGAUUUAGACAUAGUAUUAAGGAUGUUCUGGGUAGAGCUCAAGCAUGUUGGAUGCAUGAUGUAUUAUGGAUAUGCAUUUUAAUUGUGUUUGAGGUGCAUUGUGUUCUCCCUCUUCGUCAACAUGAACUGUGAAAGUAAAUGGUUUGUUCCGUUAUUUAUUGUAACUGACUAUCUAUAAAUUGAUCCUCAAGGCUCAAUUAUUUAUUAUAAUAGAUUAUCUAUAGAUUGAUCUUCAACUUGUUACGGAUUAGCUGUUGUAUUAUUAUAUUAUGUUGGAAUGAAAUUAUAUUUCCUUUGUCCAACAAAAAAUAAAAAUCGAGAUCAUUUGUAUUCACUUGUUGAAUUAACGAAAGUAAUGCUUUGUAUCAGAAAGGAAAAAAAAUAAAGAUUUGGUGGUAUAUAUUUACAUGACGAGUCCAGCUACGUUGCAUCGGCCGGGGCUUUACAUGAACGCAUAUGAAACAAACGCCUAAACUUUAAUUAUUUUUUUUGGAAGUAAAUCUUAUUUAAAUAUCUAAUAUAUUAUAAAUUGAACUGAUAAAAUUUAAUGAAAUAUACUGAACAUACAUAAACACACAUUAUGAAAAAAAUAGGUUUCAAUAAUUAAAUUUAACAUAAUUAUUAAAUAUGUCAACAUAAUUUUUUUCUCUAUUGGGUUAAGUUUAAAUUCUUGACUCAUUUACCCAGUUAAUUAAAUAAUGAUUUUGUGAAGGAUGAACAUUUAUAUGGUAUUUUAUUUUAUGAAAUUAUAAAUGGAAUUACAACAUGAGUAGUAUAAAUAUGUAAUAUUUUAGUAGACUUAUAUAUUUUCAUAAUAUCAAUAUAUAAAAAUUGAAUUUUUGUCAAAUAAGUGUGAAAUCUUUUAUAUAUAUUGUGUAAAUAAAUAUUAAUAAGGUUAUUAGAUAUUGUGACACAAUUGCCCAAUUAUUUAAUGGAUGAUGUCGUGUCACUCAUUUAUUUUUAUUUUUAUUUCAUAUUUAAUAUUUUAACGUAAUUAUUAAAUAAAUAAUGUUUGAACCGAUUUAAAUUUGACACAACUAGAUAAUAAUCCGCUCACCGAUUUCGCCACCUCUAAAUAUAAACAACCAAGUCAACAACUUGCCAUUUAACUGCCCGUACAGAAAUCUAUAUGUUAAUUAUUCCAAGCAAUUACUUAGGAUUCUGCCACGUAUAUGAAACAGAACCCAACUGGCCGUCUGUGGUUCGUCAAUUAAAUGGUGAUUUCUUUUGGGAGCUCGACGUGGCAAGAAAGUGUUAUCAGAUCAGUAUGGGCUCGAUUUCUUUUGUAAAAAACUAGUUAAUGAUACCAUCAGUCAUCACCACUUAGUACUUAGCACAACUGAAGCACGUGACCUGCCAGCGGCUCCGGAUUUCCUUUUUUUGAAAAAAUUUAUUCAAUUCCUUUCAUACUAGUAUACUACCAAGAUCACCCCCUACUAACUCAUUUUACAUAAUUAUACUCUAAAAAGGUAAAAAUAUUCUAAAUAAAAAAAUUCUCCACUUUAUUUUCAAUUUACAUAACAAAGUUGAAUAAUAAAUCGAAUUUUGGUUUGUAGGCUUAUAACUCAAUAGUGCUUGUGAAAGAAUGAGUUUAAGUCUUAUAAAAUUUAUUCUAUUUAAAUAACAAUAGAUUUCUCCCCACGUAUUAAUGGAAUAAAUUUUCAAACUUAAUGUUUAGUAGGCCUUUAGAAUGUACUACGAGUAUCUAUAUCGAGAAUUUUAUCUAAUUAGGUCUUUCUAUAAUGCCGUGAUUAAAAUCACAACAUCGAUACCAUAUUUAAACGUUAAAUUAUGUAAAUAAACAUAAGACAUGUAAAUUUAAAUAAAAAUUAAAAAUCAAAAUUAAUUGUAAAAUAAAAUAUAGAUUAUGUAAAUAGAAUAUAAGACUUAUAAAUGGAGGGUAGAAUAAGAAAAUUAAUAUAUGAGUAGUAAAUUAGUGUAUCAAUGGUAAACAAAACAAAAACUUAUAAAUAUAAUAUAAAAACUUGUAAAUCAACAAUAAGUUUAAAAUAAAACAUCAAUUAAGUAAAUAAAAUAUAAGACUUGUAAAUGGAAUGUAAAACAAGUCAGUUAAUAUACAAGUGGUAAAUUAGAGUGUUAUUGGUAAACAAAACAAAAACUUAUAAAUAUAAAAUAAAACUUAUGAAUCAACAUUAAGUGUAAAAUAAAAAAUAAAUUAUAUAAAUAAAAUAUAGGACUUGUAAAUGCAAGGUAAAACAUGUAAAUUAAUAUAAGAAUUAUUAAAAAAAUUAAAAAUGUAAAAUACAAUCUCAUUAUAAUAAUGAUUACUUUUUAUUGAUUUAUUUUUUCUAAAUUGAAUAAUGAUAGUUUUGGGUUUAUGUAAUACAUAUGAUGAUUAAGGAUAAAACUUAUUUUUAAAAUUAGAUUUUGAAAAACUAUUUUUUUUUUUCAUAUUUUUCAAAGUUGCUUGUAGGAUAAGGUGAUUUUACAUCAUUUUAAAUAUUCUUGAUAGCAACCACAGAUGACCUUUAAAUACAAGUAAGAAGCAAAAUUUAAAAUUACAUAAAAUAUGUAUAAAACAUAAAAUUAGAUACAAUUUUAUUGAUAUAUUAUAUAUAUCUAGUAAUAUCAGAAUAUCUUUUUAUUUUGUUUUGACUUAAUGCAUUCAAGAAAAAUAUUUUGUUUAAUUAACCUCUGUAGUAAACAAUACUAUGAUGAAAAAUUAAAAAAAAAUUAUGAAUGUCAUAGAAUGAAUAUAGAAUUUAUAGUUAAACCAAUUCAAUAAAACUUAUUCUAAUUGUUUUCAAUUACAAUUUUUUUUUAAAUUGAUGACUCACUUUGUUCUUUGUUUAAUUAAAUUAAAUAAAUAAACUAAUUUUAUUUAAUGAAAGUUUAAUAUCAAUAUCAAAGUUUUAUGUUAUUUUAUAAGUAUUUGUUUUGUUUGUAAUUUCAAAACACUAAUUUACCACUCAUAUAUAAUAUAUACUAAUUUUAUCUUUUAUUUAAUAAUUUUUAUAUAUAAUUUACAAAAUUUAUAUUUAUCAUGAUAAUAAUACCGUAAUUUUAAUCAUAACAUCGUAAAAUUUUCCAAACUUCAAAUCGUAUAUUUUUAGGUUAUCGUAAACAAUUUAAAAAAAUUAAAUAGCGGCAUUUUAGUAUUAACAUAUUUUUUAAUAUUUUGAUGUUGUAUGGAGCAUAUUUAUAGCAAUGACCUCUUUUCGCGGCUCCCACUUCUUCUUUUCAUUCACUCGUCCAGUAGUAUAGCUACCACGAAAAAUGGAACUGCGAGAAAUAGAAGAACGGGAAAACGAUGUCGUUUUACCGGAGAGGAAGACAAAGAUGAAAACGAGAAAGAACAGAAAGCGAGAGAAAAGAAAAGAAAAACUCAAAGAAGAAGCUGAAGAAUUAUUGCAGGACCCUCUCGAUGUUUUUGGUAGAGACAUAAUGUUGAAGAUACUUAAAAGCCUAAACGCACGCAGCGCGGCACUAUCACUUCUUGUAUCUCGUGCUUAGAACGGCGUCGCUUGCAGCGACACACUUUGGACUUCCAAGGUUUGUGUCCUUUUCUUUUUUUUUAGUUAAUAAAUUUAGUUCUUCCCAUGGAGAUUGGAGAAUAUGAGAAUUGGGUAAAUCUAAUAUCACUACUGGGUUUUUGUUUUAACUAUUUUUGGUUGCUGUUUGAAAUAAUCAUAUUAUGAAUACAAUUGGAUUUUCAUGUCAGUUUAAGCUUUUCAUGUUAUAAUUGAGCUUUAUGUGCCUACUUUACACGGUUUCUUGUCCACAAGGGGCAUUAUAUGAAUUCUCGACUUAUUACUUGACUCAAUUUACUACUCAACUUGACUUUCUUGACCAACAUAAAUGGUUUGAAAGUCAUAAUGAAGAUGAGUGUUCUCGACUUAAAGCUGAGUAUUUUUUGUGUAGGAUCUUUUUGCCUUUGCUCACCUCUCAAGGGUAUAUUUAUGUAAAGUGGGCUAGUUGGGGUAUAUUGUUGUAUAUUUUAUUUUUUAAAAUAGGGCUCACGCCGCUCUUACCACUGCAACUAGACCUUGGCUAUGCCCUUGGUAUAUUGGUAUAUUUUAUAUACAAACUGAAUUGUGAAUGCCAAUGCAGGAUUCUACUGCCUUGCGGCCUAAGUUGCUUAUUUAUUCUGGCUGCAUGAUUCGUGAAGUUUUUUUUUUAAUUUAUUUAUUUAACGUCAAUUAUUUUCUCAGCUUUAUUUGAAACACAACUGGAAGAGAAUAUCUACCUGGAUUUUAUUUUUCAGUUCUCGAGGUAACUCGGUGGGUCAUGCUUCUACUUUGAAGAGUAACCGAGUAAGGAUAAUUUACUUGAAUUUCCUGUCCAUUUAAGUGCAAGGAACUAUGAUUUGGGAAAGCGCACAUACCUCGUUUAGCUCUAACCCGGGGGUUACCAAAGCUGGCCGCAUAUUCGUUGUCUGUAAUGGAUGGCAAACGUGUGAGUGCUUCUCCCCAUCUCUCUUUUGAUUCGCUCAUUCUUCAUAUGCACGUGCGCACAAGCUUUCACUAACUAUUCUAUUCUUCAUUUUUAUGAUUCUGGUAGACUCGUAUCACGAAAGAAAACCUUUGUGAUCAUGUUUGGGAGUUUCAUUUUAAUAAGGUAUGUAAUUUUAGUAUAGCGCUUGUUAUAAAGAAAAUAUAUGAAAUUUACUCAAAUUAUCAGUGCAAUUAGAUUUCUCAUUAAAAGUUGUUAAUAAACAAAAGUAAUUAAAAACACGAUCAGCUGUUAAUGCUUGUGUAACUUACACAGAUCCCAGUAUAUAUUCGGCGGACAUGUUCGACUGUUAGGCAAAUAGUUUUUGUUUCCUCUCAAUUAGUUGAUAAAAACUAUAAACAAAAGAGCGAGACAGAGAAUAUUGAAGCAAAACCAUCCAUCCAAUUACACCAGCAAACAAAAGUGAAGAGCAUUUAUUGUUAAAAUGUGAAUUACUUAACUAAAAACCUUAGUUUGCUUGAACUUUAUGUAUACGUAUAUAUAUUACACACACUCAUAUAUAUAAUCUCUCUAGUACGGGUGUGGUUUAAUAAAGUUGUGCAUAACGUUAUGAAACUGCACAUCUUAAGAGCGUGUUCGCAUUAAAACAAAUGGCAUCCACACCUGAAAAUGAUUACAUAUAUAUGUGUGUGUGUGUCCAGAUGUAUCUUUUAAUUUAUUCAACUUAUAAGGAUAUAAUAGUGAGCUAUGACAGACAAUUACACAAAUAUUUAGACGAAUGUACAGAUAAAUCCAUUGCAGUCAACAGAUAAACGAAUAAUUGAUUUCUCAUACCGACGUGCUAGGAAAAAUAUCAGUAGACUAAAAUAUCAUGUAAUGAUUUAUACACAUCCUUUUAAUAUGUACACGAUCAAUUCAGAUGUCGCCAGGGAAUUUUUGUUCUUGCUAGGUAAAUCAUAAAUUUACUCCCAGAAGACUAAUUAAAUGCAUUCAAUUUAGGUUCAAAAUACAACUAGCAAUGUAACAUAUCCACAUUAGAAAAUGAUUCAUGGUCACCUAUUUGCCAAAUCUUACCGGUCUAGGUAUAAAAUCUGAAAGAUGAAUACAUCAGCAACACGAAACACAACCAAAUGAACACAACCACCACAUAGGGUGGAAAAAAAAAAACACAUAAACCUGAAAGUAUACAUACUACUUGAUCUAGACAUGGUAUUAGAGAUGUUCCCGAUAGAGAUUGAGUCUGUUGGAUGCAUGAUUAAGAGAUGCUCUUUAAUAGAGUCUCUGAUGCAUUGUGUUCUCCUUAUUCGUUAGUGUGAAAUGCGAAAGUAAAAAGUUUGUUCAACUAUUUAUUAUAUCAGAUUAUCUAUAGAUUGAUCUCCAAGUCUGUUAUGGACUAGCUGUUAUACUAUUAUGUUGUUGUUGGAAUGAAAUUAUAUCUCUGUGAAAAAAGAAAGAAAUUUUUUUUGGCACAUGUGUAUUCACCCAUUAGUAUUAACGACAUUAAUUCUUUUUAUACAAGUAAGAGGGGGAGAAGAGAGAUCUGCUAGAAAGAUUAAUAUAUUUACAUGACGGGUCUAGCUACGUUGCGUCGAACGGUGCCUUACAUGACGCAUAUGUAAUAGACACCUGAACUUUAUAAUUCUCGUUUUGGAAGCAGAUCUUAUUUAAAUAUCUAAUAUACAAUAAAUAGAACUAACAAAAUUUGAUAUAAUCCAUUUAGCAAACAUGAACGAAAAAGUAGAUUUAAAUUAUUAAAUUUGACACGAUAAUUAAAUAGGCCGUACUCUUUUCAACACAAUUUUUUGGCUUCUUGAAUUAGCUUUAUAUUCUUGGGAUAAAGAUCCUUUCCUAAUCUGAGCUCUCAUGAGCUUUUAAAAAUCUUGUGUCAUCUGUCUUUAAGUGAUAGUGUAUGGGUAUGAUAGUGAUAGUGUAUGGGUAUGAUUUAAUUUUUUUACUUUUUUUUAUUUAUUAACUACCAAUCACUCACAUAUAUUUGUGCUCAGGAGGAGAUUAGAUCUAGAAAGAAUCAUAAUCCUAUAUUCUUGGCCUAUCUACUCAGUUAACGAAACAAUUACUUAUGAAGGAUAAACAUUUAUGUGGUGUUUCAUUUCAUAAAAUUCUAGAUGGAUUUAAAACUUGAAUGGUGUAAAUAUGUAAUAUUUCAAUAUAUAUGUAUAUUUUUUAUGAUAUCAAUAUAUAAUAUUAUUUAGAUAUAUAAAAAUUGUAAAAUUUUUAUUAAAUAGGAGCAAAAAUAAUUGAUAUAAAUCAUGUUAAAUGAGUAUUAAUUAAAUGGAUUAUUAGGUAUGUCGCGACACAAUUAUUAAUUAAUGAGUUACAUUGUGUCAAUUGUUAUGUUUCAUAUCAAACUUAAAAUUUUAAUAUUUUAACACAAUUAUUAAAUAAAUAUCUAAAUCACUCUAAAUUUCACAUGGCAACGAAAACCACUUUGUCAUCAGUUCUGCCUAGGGAUGGCAAAUUGGUCCAUUCAAAUUGGAUAUCCAUAUAUCCAAUUCAAUUGGAUUGGAUAAUAUCCAUCUAAAAUCUUAUUGGAUAUAGAUAUGAAUAUUUUUAAAAAUAUCCAAUUAGAUAUUGGAUGGGUAUGGAUAUUUAAUGGAUAUCCAAAAUCCAAUUAAUUUAUCCAUUUAAAGUUAAAAAAAUUUAUAUUAUUAAACUAAAAUAAAAAAAAAACAACAAAAUCUAAUUUUCUCUUAUAUUAACUAGUGAAAAAUUUAAAUUCCUCUUAUAUUAUAAACUAAAAUUUCCAAAAUUACCUUUUAAUUUUUUAACUUAUUUAAUACCAUUAAUAAUUAUUAUUUUAUUUUAUUGAUUUAAUAUUAUAAAUGGAUCUCCAUCGGAAAGCCGCGGUCCGGCGACCUCGCCAGAAGGUCGCCGGACCUCGCCGGAAAUUGCCCGGACUUCGCCAGACCGUCGUCACCAACAACCGAACCGCCGUCAUCGGCCACCGGACCGCCAUUUUAUUAUAUAUAUAUAUAUAUAUAUAUAUAUAUAUAUAUAUAUAUAUAUAUAUAUAUAUUAUUACUAAUAUAAAUAGUUUAAUAGCCAAAUUUGAUAUUAGAAUUUUAAUUAUUUUAUAUAAUAAAAAUAAAAUAUCGAUGGAUAUCUAUGGAUCUUCAUAACUAUAUGGAUAAAAUUCAUAUCCAUAUCCAAUAUUAAAUACUGAAUAUAAAUAUAAAUAUAUUUAAUAUAGAUAAUUAUAAAUUUGUAUUUGGAUAGAUAUUAUCCAUCCAUAAUCAAAUAUUUGGCAUCCCUAGUUCUGCCACAAACAUCCAAGUCAUGGACUUGCUGUUUUGCCAAGCAAUCACUCAGUAUCUUGCCACGUAUUCGAGUCAGAGUCCAAAACGCCCAAUUUUUGUCCUUCAAUUGAAGGAUGAUUUUGUUUUGGAACUCGGCGUGGCAAGAAUGCACUAUCGGACCAUUAUUAACUAUGGGCGUGUUUGGCAGCCCUCAUUAUAUAGUAUUAGAACUCCUCAUAGCAUUAAAGUCUUAGAAUAUCAUAUUUGGUGACUACUCCUCACUGUAUUGUAAUGUGGUCAAAAGAAGCUUGUAAUGCGGUCAAACCCGCAUAAAAUAAACCCGUGUGAGAGUUGGGUUUACGCGGGUUUGUAAUUGUUUGAGACAAAAAAAAAAUUCGCUUUCAUUUUCGUUCUCCUUCUCUGUGUAGUGCCUUGCCUGCACCUCCACACAUCCACUCCACAAAUCUCAACUCCACACCACCAGUGCCUCAAACACCACCAGCUCCAUGUGAUCUGCCUUUAUACCGCCACUGUCUCACGAUACCACCGUGACACCACCAGCUCCAUUGCCUUCGCGAUCUACCUCCGCGAUGUGCGAGACCACUGCGCGGCAUGCCUUCGCGACACUCCACCACCAUGCUCCACUGCCUUCAUCAUGCCGUCGUGCCUUCGUCAUUUUUGAAACUGUGAGGGUCUUAUCUUUGUGUUAGUAUGUUAGAUCAUGCGUGCUUUUUUUGUGCUUGGUUUGAUUAUUUUUCUUUUAAAGAAAAGGAUCAUUUGUUGUUUUUGUGAUUUAUUUAGUUUCUAAUAUAUCUUCAGUUAAGAAAAUAGAAUGGAGUCUUCUUGUUGCCUUUAAAUUAAAUUGGUAUUUUGUUUGAUUAUGUUAUUGUGAGGCUUUGAUUGAGAUUUUGUUACUUUAUGUUGUGAAUGGAUGAGUUUAUAGAUUUAUGCCCGACAAUUGUUUGAUGAAUUGUCUAAAAGAAUAAGAAUUUGGUGCUUUGCUUCACUAAUUGUGGCCUAAAAAUUAUUACUACAUGUAGAAGUAUUUCCAAUCCGUAGUUGACUUUACAUUAAGAAAAAAUUAUCCUAAUUGUUUGGCUAAAGUAUUUUUGUGGGUGGAUUUUUGGCAAAUGUAGCUUCAGCCUUCAUGUGUAAACCAAAAAAAAAAAUAAAUAAAAUCUCGCAGGAUUGUACUUCAGUAAUGCAAUACCAAAGCACAAGAUGAAGUGUUAUUGUCUCCUGAAUGGUGAUUUUUGGAAUGAAAUAGAUGGCUUAUAAAAUUUGCAAUUAUUCUUGACAACUAGUACUUUCGAUUCUGGAUUUGCAAAUUAAUAGUAAUAAACAUCAAGUAAUGGUAGAGAAAUUAAUAUUGAAAAAGGAACUUGAAAAUCAUUAAGAUGAAAUCUUAUGAAUUUACUUUAGUUCUUGAAAGGAAGUAUUGAGGCAAAACAGAAUUACAGAACGGAGCUAUUCUAGAGCCAUUAAAUUUAGAAAAGAACCAAAAAAAAAAUUAUGAUAUUAAAAAUUUUUUUAUGAAGAAUUAUGAUAUUAAAAAGUUAUAUUAAAAAAUAAUGUUAAAUUUCUCAAUUUUAAAAAUUUUGAUAUUUAGUAUUUUUCUAAGUAUUAAUAAAUAUUAUUUUUUAAAAUAAGUGAUCAAAAUUAAUUACUAAAAAAUUAAUACAAUACAAUGCAGCACCAAACAUAGUAUAACUAAAAAUUAAUACAAUACAGUGUAAUGACAAAUACUAUACAACAUUAUUAUAAUACAAUGUUAAUGCAAUACAGUAUAAUACAAUACACCUACAUUAAAAUAAUGCAAUACAGCAUAAUAUAAUACAGUGUGCCAAACGCACCAUAUCAUCAUUGCAGAGCAGUACCUAAACCACGUGACCUCUCACCGCAUUUUUUUAAAAAAUAUAUAUUUAUUCCUUGUAAAAUACCGAUAACACCCCCCGACUGUCUCAUUUUACAUAAUCAUACUCUAAAAAGGCCAAAAUAUCCUAAAUAAAAAAAUAUUCUCAACUUUAUUUUCAAUCUUCAUAAAAAGUUGAAUAAUAAAUCAAGUGAUAUAAAAAAUCGAGUAAAAUAAUAAGUAAAAAAAAUUAGCUUUUUAACUUGUAGGCCUGUAGUUCAAUAAUAUCUACGAGAGAAUGAGUUUGAGCCACGUAAAUUUUAUUAUAUUUAAAAAAUAGUAAAUUUGUCGGUCGUAUAUUUCUACAUAUUUUUAUAUUUUGAUUUUUUUUGGAGUUAUUGCAAUUACCUCCUUUUUCGCGGUUUCUGGUCAUUCCUUUCAUUCGCUUACUCUGUAGUAAUAGCUACUACCAGUCUACCACACAGAAUGGAACUGCGAGAAAGAGAAGAACAGGAAAACGAUGUCGUUUUACCGAAGAAGAAGAAGACGAAGAUGAAACUGAGAAAGAAGAGAAAUCGAGAGGAAAGAAAAGAAAAACUCAAAGAAGAAGAAACUGAAGAAUUAUUGCAGGACCCACUGGAGGCUUUUGGUAGAGACAUAAUGUUGAAGAUACUUCAAAACCUAAAAGCACACAGCGUAGCACUGACUCUCCUUGUAUCCCGUGCUUGGAACGGCGUUGCUUCAAGCGACACGCUUUGGACUCCCAAGGUUCAUUUCCUUUCCUAUUCUUUCUUUUUUUUCCCCAAUCUUUUUGCCUCGUACCUGAAUUUAGGUUUGUUUCUUUUUUUUUUAAAUUUAAUUAAUUAAUUUAGUGCUUUCUUCGGAGAACAUGAGAAUUGGGUUUUUUUAGUUUCACAAUUGGGUUUUUGUUUUAAGUAUUUUUGGUUGUUUGAAAUAAUCAUAUCAUGAAUACAAUUGAAUUUGAAUUUAAGCUUUUCAUGUCAUCAUCGAGUUUUAUGUUCCUAGUUUACAGGAAUUUGUAUUCAGCGCUGAGCUGGGGUUUUUGUUAAUCUUUUAGAAAGAUAAGAAUAUAAAAUUAAUUAAAUCUUCACCUUAAAUUGCUAUCCAUGCAUGUGUGGUAGAUGAUUAUGAAGAGAUGAGCACAGCUAAGCUCAGUACUGGAUCUAAAUCCAGCUUGCAGGAUUUCUUGUCCGCCAGGAGCAUUAUAUGAAUACUCAACUUAUUAUUUGACUCAAUUUACUACUCGACUUGGCUUUCUUGACCAACUUGAAUUCGUCUGAGUAUUCUUGAUUUAAGCUGAAUAUUUUUGUCUAGUAUCUAUUUGUCUUUGUUCACCCCUUAAGGGUAUAUCUAUGUAAAGUGACUUAGUUGGGGUAUAUUGUUGGUAUAUUUUAUUUUUUAAAAUCCUGGGCCCUAGGAAGCCCUUUCUUAUCAUUGAAACUAGACCUUGGCUAAAUUAUUGGUUUAUUUAAAGGAUUGAGGUAUAUUUUUAUAUAAAACCAAACUGAAUUGUGAAUGCCGUUUUUACUGCCUUAUGGCCUAAGUUGCUUAUUCGUUCUGAUUGCAUGAUGUGAAGAAUUUUUUUUUUUUUUAACUUAACUUCAAUUAUUUUCUCUGCUUUAUUUGAAACCUAACCGGAAGAGAAUAUCUACCUUUUUUUUAUUUUUUUCAGUUCUCCAGGUAACUUAAUGGGUCAUGCUUCUACUUUGAAGAGUAACUGAGUAAGGAUAAUUUACUUGAGUUUCCUGUCUAUUUUAGUGCGAGGAACUGUGGUUGGGGAAAGCGCACAUACCUCGUUCAGCUGUAGUCCAGGGGUUACCAAAGCUGGCCGCAUAUUCGUUGUCUGUCACAGAUGGCAAACGUGUGAGUGCUGAUCAAUCUCCCUUUGUUCUCCUGUCUCUCUUUUGAAUCAGUCACUUUCCAUAUGCACGUUUGAGCAAGCUAUCACCAACUAUUCUGUUCUUUUUUUUUUAAAUUUUCUUAGACUCGUAUCAUGACAGAAGACCUUUGUGAUCAUGUUUGGGAGUUUCAUUUUAACAAGGUAUGUAAUUUUAUUGCAGUGCUUCUCAUAUGUUAUUAAUUAUUAGUAAGGUCUGGUGAGUGGUGACUCGCCUCUUGAUUUCAGUCUGGCCUUGACGUGGUGCCAAAAUUACUAGAACUUGCAUGAGUUUGAAAUGUGAACAUAUAAAACAUUAAUGUUUUGACGCUUUAAAAGUUUGAUCAUGUGUAGCCUUGGUAAUGAAAUUUCGGCCCAUGAGGAACGAAACUCAUGAAUUAUAAUCUGCCUAUUUGUAAGGCAUUGCUCAUAAUUCAGGCACUCACUCAUGUAACUAUUCCCUGGACUGGUCACAAGUAAAUGAUAAUCCUGGUAAUCCUAUAUUCAAACAUUUCUUAGCAUGCAUCCAAGCAUCCAAGGCAUUCGUAGUGUGUCCUUUCCUUUACUCUGCAGCUUUCUACUAUUUUGUUGGAAACUGAAAUGAUCAAUUGAUCGGAUGACUGCCUUUGAAUGCCAUUUUUCCUUCAGGUGGUACCAGAGUAUUGGCUUAAUCUCGAUCCCUACUGGAAGGGUACUAGCCCUCUAAUGCACCGUUACUUUCAUGAAGAUGGGAGUCAAACUGCAGAUCCUGGUGACGAAGUAUGGGGCGGGCAUGAAUGCUGUUACUCUAUAGUUACCAGUGUUGUUGGUGAAGGAAAGAUUAGGGAGCACUAUGUUAGAAUAAACCGCUGCUGGCCGCAUAUGCUUGUCUCUAGGAAGAAGGACUGGAGCUGGGAAAUGUCAAAUAUCCUCUACUGCUACUCCAGUGUUCCUGAUGGCCACAGGGUUGGUGGUACAGGACCCCUGCUUCUAUGUGUUUAGAGACUAGAAUGAAGUGCUGCCGGGUUCGCCAAAUAGAUAUAGAAUAACUUUCCAAUGAGAAAGCUUGACUAAAGUAAAAGACAGGAAGAAACACAUACUCCAAUGUAGUGUUUACUGCCGUUUAUCAAUUGACUUUUCGUUUUCCCUUUUAAUAAAAUGAGGCUUCUCAUCGGAAGUCCUUUGUUGUAAAAGGUCAUAAGUGGUAAUUGGUACUUCCUUAUUUUGCGGAAUAAAAUAGUUAGAAAGUGUUUUUGGAUAUGCAAUGGACUUUACUGAUAAGUUUUUUAGCUCUUGUGCAUGAUCCAUGUGGUUGCUUUCCUCAACAGAAACAUAUUUAUAGAGUAUUUUUUUGAUCUUUUUAUUUUUUAAAAAAAUUGGGGUGCAGACAAAGUUUAAAUUAAUAUUUUUUAACUCUUAUUUUUCCGGAACCCAAAUUAUAGAUUUUUUUUCAUUUUUUUUAAUUUUCUAAAAAUGUUAAGUUGUGGUUAAAAUUUAAAUUAAUAUUUAUUUUAAUUAUUUUAGAAUUCAAGUGGUCAAUAAAAUAAGAUCAGUUGAUAUAUAUUAGAUCAAGCACCUCUAGCCCUAGUAAUAUAUUUUUACAUUAUAAAUUAAUGUUGUACGUAUAAUUAAGUUCGGCAAUCUAGCCUUUUUCAUGAGAACUGCACAAGAGUUUUUUAUUAGAGUUUAAGAGAAAAAAAAAGUUUAUAUCAGAUUUUAUCUUCUAUUUUUUUAAUAUAACUUAUCAAUUAAAAUAUAAAAAAAAGAAAAGAAAAUUUAAAUCCUUAAUUCAUAAAGUAAUGAUGAUUAAAAAAUAUAAAAUUAUAAUAUUAAACUUUGUCUUAAGCUUUAAUUAAUUAAAAGGAUUCUUAAAUUAGAGAAUUUAGUAUUAAAAAUUUAAAUUUGUAAAAUUUUUUUACUUCAUUUUUUGAUUUAUUAUUUUAUUUUAAAUGGUUAAUUUCUUCAAUUGAAUGUUAUUAUUAAUUUAUUACCAAUUUAUAAUAAUUUAAAAAAUAAUUAAAAAAUCUAUGGAAGCUCAACUAGGCCUUUAUAUUUUCCUUAACAUGGAUUUGCGCAUGGGCUAGAAAAGUGAAAUCCGGUCUAUCAAUUUGCCAUCCCUACGUGUAAUCAUUAUAUUUUGAUGAAAUUAAGAACAAGGACAUAAUCUGCAAGCAUUUUCAUACAGGUCCUUAUGAGAAUGUUGAGGACUUGCGAGAGACUGUAUCACCACCUUAGCCCUUUGUAUGUUAAGAUGAUGAGAUAAUGUUUUAUUAUGCGGUGGAGUAAUAAGUCUUAUAGUGUGAUUCAUAGUGGUGUUAAAAUAAGAUAUAUUAAAUUUAAAAGUAUAACUAGAUUUUAUUAUAAAAUUUAUUACUUUACCAUAUAACAAAAUAUUAUUUAGAUAUCUCAUAAAUUUAGUAAUUUAUGACACAACUUCAUACAAGUUUUUCUCGAGAAUGUGAAUAUGUGAAAUAAUCAGAAUUUUAUCACUUGAUAAUUCAAUCAAUUUCAUAGUAGAACAUAUAAUAUUAUUAAAUGAUAAAUCUUCUUACUGAGGUGGUGCGUCCACCCAUAUAAGUUUUUCUCUUCAUACACAAGACACUAGGACAGGGAUUCAAAUGCAAAUGGAGCAAAUUGUUUUUCUUAUUUGUACUUUACCAAAACUAAGGAGAACAAUGGUUAAUAUCCCGAAAAAGGAAAAUUACAAGACGACGUGUCGAGUUGCCUACAUUCAUCAUCGCUGCUGAGCACACCUGAAGAAGGACGAGCUCUGUUCCCCAUCAUCUUCCAGUCACUCUCUCGCUGUCUCUGUCUCAGUAUCACUGAAUGGAGCUGCAAGAAAUGGAAGAAAAACUGCAAAACGGGGACGUUUUACUUGAGGUGAAGAAGAAGAAGAAGAAGAAAAGGAGAAAGAAGAAGAGAAAGCGAGAGAACAGAAAAUAAAAAAUCGAAGAAGAAGAAGAAGAAGAAGAAGUUGAAUUAUUGCAGGACCCACUUGAGGUUUUGGGUAGAGACAUAAUGUUGAUGAUACUUAAGAACCUCGACGCACGCAGCGUGGCACUAUCUCUCCUCGUGCCCCGUGCUUGGCACGGUGUCGCUUCCAGCGAUUCGAUUUGGUCAGCCAAGGUUAAAUUUCUUCUUUCUUUUUUAACCCUUUGGCUUGUAAUUUGUAUUUGAACUUGGGAUUAGUUUAUUUUGUAUUGAUUUAGUGCUUUCCUUGGAGAAUUUUGAUCAUUGGGUUGCUCUAAUUUCACAAAUGGGUUUUUGUUUUGGGAAAAUUGCAAUGGUUAUAUAAUGUAAAUGUUUGUCUAAUUUGGCAUGUGUUUUGAGAAAGUCUUGAUUAAGCUUGUUAAGUAUUUGUUUGCUGUGUGAAAUAAUCAUAAUAGGAAUCCAAUCAGUUUUGUAGUUUAAAUUUCAAUUAGGUUCCUACUAAAUUGUCUGCUCUUGAAUGACCACAUGGGUAUCAUUACCACGAAUUCAGCAUACCAACAUACUACGUUCUGUAAAUUAUUGUCUGUUGAAUGACCAUGCAUUUGGUUUGGAUUGUAAUUCAGAAUGGGUAGUAUUACAUUGUGAGUGAGAAGGUAAAUAGCUACAAAUUUCGUAGAACAUAUGGGAUUGUUGAAUGUAUGGGAAACUGUCUGUGCAAUCUUCAGAUUUUAUACAAGUAAUCCUCUUGAUUUUUCUGCUUCCAAAUUUAGUAUUUUUUAGUCUAUAAUUAUUAUUUUGUUCUGGGUAAAAGUCUGUUUAGUCCCUAUAUUAUGAGGUUAGUGUCCAUUUAGUCCCUGUAUUUUUAAAAACACCUCAAAACGUCCCUGCUACUAAAUAUUGACACUUAUGCCAUUAUUUUUUAUUAUUUUUAACUUAUUUUUACAAUAUUACAUUUUUACAAUAAUAUUUCUUUUUUGGAUAUUAAUAAAAAAAAUUAAAUUAUCAAAUUAAACUCAAAAAUAAAAUAAAAACAAAAAAGGUAUAUAUUAAUUUUUGUGGAAGCUCACGUAUGUCUAAAAAAUUAAUAUCGUAAAAAAUUACAUUAUCAAUUUUUUUAGAAAAAUUAAUAUUUUAACUCAAGAGUGUGUUCCACAAAAAUUAAUAUAUAUAUUUUAUUUUAUUUUAUUUUUUGGUGUUAAACUGGUAAUUUAUUUUUUUCUUUUUAAUAAUGUCUAAAAAAAUUAUUAUAAUAGGGUUAUUUUUUUCUUUUUAAUAAUGUCUAAAAAAUUAUUAUAAUAGGGCAAUAUUAUAAAAAUAAGUUAAAAGGAACAAAAGAUAAUGGCGAAAGUGUCAAUAAUUUAGUGGUAGGGAUGAUUUGAGGUAUUUUUAAAAAUAUAGGGACUAAACGGACACUAACUUCAAAAUAUAGGGACUAAACGAGCUUUUACCCUUUUGUUCUAUUCAAUUGUAUUAAAAUGAUGGAAAUAAUAAUUAUUAUUUUCUGCCAUAAUGAUUUUCAAAUAAUUAUAUUUAGUUGGUCACUAAAUUCAAAUCCUAGAGGGUGGUGGUGGAUAAAAAUUGAAUUUGAAUUAUAAUUUUAUUUAUCUUUUGGCUUUGUACACUCAGAAAUGGAUUAUCGUGCGAUUCAAAAAUUAUUUGAAAAAAGGAAGAGUCUGAUCAAAGAAACAGACCAAUAUUUGUGGACUCCAAUUCAUUACGCUGCAUAUCAUAAUCAAUAUCAACAGAUAUAUGUGCUAUUAGAUAUUGAUCCAACUGCUUCAAACAUUUUUGACAAAGAUCAAAAGAUGACAGCUCUUCAUUUGGCAGCGGGCCGAGGGCAUGCUAGAGCAAAUGAAAGAAUUCUUUCUCUUGCAGCAAAAUGUUAUGAACUGGUCGAUAACAGGGGAUGGAAUUUUUUUCAUUAUGCAAUGGUCAAUUUUUUUUUUUUUUAAUGAUUUAAAAACUUUCCUAAAAAAUCUGUUAGCGAGGAGUCUUAUAAAUGAGGGGGAUGCCAAGGAGAACUCUAUAUCAUUAGGAAGACUCAAGCCAACGAUCGCACUGUUAACAAGCAAAAUGUUAGUGUUAGACACCUUUUGAAAUAUGGCUAUCCUACGCUCUAAGGUAAUUAAUUUGUUAAUUCUUUCAACUUAUAAUCCAGCUUUCUUUUUCAUUUUUUUUCUUUUUUUGAGUGGUACUAUUAGCACCCCUCUAAAUAUCUCUUAACACCCCUUUUCUUAAUUAACCCCAUUAAAAUGUUUUUAAAAAAUUAAAUAAGUCUUUGAACACCUCCAUUAAUAACAAAAAUACCCUUAAUUAAAACUUAUUGUAUAAACCACAUUCUCUAAUUUUUAUUAUUAAACCUCAUUUUAAUAAUAGGGUCGCUCCUAUUUAAAGAAAAAACAAUAGGUUUUUAUUCUCUCCAUAGUAGCUAUCGGUGGUAAAUUCUUUACUCGAAAAUUAAAGGAAAAAGCAACUUUUUUAAUUACUAAAAUGUUAGAUUUUAUAAGGAAAAAAAUUAUUUGAUUUUUGAGUGGAGAUUUUCUUAAAAAUUUACAUAUUAUGUAAUUUUAAUAAAUGUUAAAAUCGUAAAAUAAUUAAAGGGAUUUUAAGAGCUAUUUGGAGGGGUGCUAAUAGUCCUACUCUUUUUUUUUUUUUUUCAGUUUAUGCAAUUAAUUCAUAUUCAAAUUCAAAUUACAGGAGGAAAUCCAAAAGUUGCCCAAAGAUGUUGGCAGAGGACAAUAUCCAGACAGUGCCACAUUCAUAAGAACAGUGCUAUAUUGCUAAGAUCAGAUCCAAAUGCAGUGGCACGUGCUGUGUUUACUUGACAGGGCUAGUCCGAAUAAAUAUUCAACAUGCCUUAAAAUUUUAUGGUUUUGGUGCAAGGGAUGCUGAAGCGCUUGGUGUGCGUGAGAUCCUCAGCUGGAUUAAGAAGCGGCAUUUGUCUUGUGUUGUAGUAGAAAUGGACUGCAUUCAGGUUUUUAAAGCUCUCACAGCAAGCUAUUCUUGUCCGAAUGGGUAUGGUCUUAUUCUUGAUGAUUGUCUAGCUUUAGCUAAGUCUAUAGGAGAUAUUGAGUUCUCUUUUAUUCGAAGGUCUGCGAACACUGCCGCCCAUGUUACCGCUCGGGUAGGGGGUUCUUUGUCAGGCUUUGAGGAGUGGAGUCAUGUUCCACCUCCUUGGUUAUUUACUUCUCUGUAAUCUUUGCCUUUUAAUGAAGUUUCCAGUUUCAAAAAAAAAAAAAAAACUUUUUUUCUCAAGUAUGUCCUUAAAUCAAUCUUUAUUAAAAUAAUAUUUAUAGUUAAGUUAUUCUUUUUUGGAACCUUUAAAAUUCAAAAUUAAAAAUAGUAAUCUAUCUUUUUAAUUACUUUCUUUGGAGCAAGUUUCUCGAUGUUGCAAUAUCUUUUGAAUAUUUUUUUUGUUACGUUCACACAGACAUAUACAAUAAAUUCAUAAAUUUAUAAUCUAACCCUGCCUGGUCAAAAGAUUAUCUUGACGAUCCUAAAUAUGAUUACAAAGAUAUGACAGCGUCCAAUGUUGUAGUAUAGUGAAAAUUACCCUUUAGGACAAUGCUUUGCACCCCCCUUGAGGAAUUUUCUCUGAGUUCGUAUUCGUUGGUCGGAUAACAAAUUCUUAGUUGUAGGAAGCAACUAUUUGGUUUCCGGCUGCAGCCACAAGGUUAUGAUUGUAACUUUCUUUUUUAAAUAACAAAGAAUAUUGUUGUCAAGCUAUUGUCCAUCACCGUUGAGUUUUUUAUGGGUGUUGUUGUUCCGGCUGAGCUGAUCCUUCAAAAAGUUAUUUUGCCUCAUAUUUCCAACGUAAAUGGCCCAACAAAUUUGUGUCAUUCUGUAUAUUUAUUAAUAUGAAUACGUUUCAUAAUUGUGCGACUUAUCUUUCUGUCUUAGUUGUUAUAUUAAAAAAAUUAACUGGAGAAAAAGAAGAUCUAACAUUUUUUUCUGGUCAAGGCAGCUGCUUCUCGAAAAAAUAUUGUCGCUGAUAUCCUAGGUUUCUCGGAAGGCUCUUUUCCUUUUGUUUAUCUUGGAGUUCCAAUUUUCAAGGGUUGUAUUUUGGCCCAUGCCGGGCGAGUUGAGCUAGUAAAUACUCUUGGCCGUGGGGAUUGAGUUAAUAAUUUUUAUUUUUUUUUCCAUUGAAAACACUACAACGUUUUGCCUUUGUUCUUCUCAGCGGUCUCUCACCCCACGAUUGAUUUAACAUUUCUCUUACAAAUUAAAAGAGUAAGUAAACAUUAAUUAAAAAAUUAUCCAGGUCAGCAAAAAGUCAACAGAUAGAUGCACAAAAACUCUAUUCGCCUCCACGUAAACUCGUAGCAUUUAGAUGCAACCCUUAAAUAAUAAAGUUACUGCUUUCAAGUCGUUGUUCAACACCAUUGUGUUUGCUAAUUGGUAACAUUGAUCUGACUGAUUGAAGCUUUUAACGAAACUAUAUUGAAUCAUAUCAAAUGGACCCUGAUUUCAAAGCUGCAGUUAAAAUACUGAACCUUUUAAGGAUAUGGGAAGAGAUGUAACUUUGAACUAGAGGCGUCAGUGGACUUGACACAGCUGAAUGUGUAAAAUAUAUUUUGCACAAACUAAACAAUUGUAAAACUUUGAAGUUGUCGGAUGGGAAUUGCAUAAUAAGAUUGUCCCACUGGAUCCAUUGUGAUGCUCGUAUUAAAAAGCUAAAGGGAAGAAAGAAAGAUUUUCAUUCAUUAUUUAUUGUCUAUUUUACGAUAAUAUAAAUACAUAAGCUAUUGUAAUAAUUAUAAAAGAAAGUCAAAGGAAAAAUAAAUAAAGAAGUGUAGUAAUUAUCUGGUGGGAGGAAAAUAAAUGAAAAAGAAUAGUAGGUGUCGGUAGGAAGAAAAUAAAUGAAGUGGAGAGGAAAAUAAAUGAAAAGGAGUAGUAGAUGUCCGUAGGAAGAAAAUAAAUGAAGUGGAGAGGAAAAUAAAUGAAAAAGAGUAGUAGGUGUUGGUAGGAAGAAAAUAAAUGAAGUGGGGGUGGUGGCAAUUAUUAUGUCUAUUUUAAAAAUCAUCAUUGCAUUUCAAAAGUUAUUAUUGCAUGUUUUUUACAUGUACCCUGUAGUUAUUAUGCUUGCCUACCAAUAGUGUGAAUCAAUUAAAGGUUGGUGGAAGAAUAAAGAACAUAUGUUAAAUUAAGGUAAGAAUUUCCAUAUACAUAAAUAAUAGUUAAUUAAUUAAGUGAUUUUAAAUCACUUAGAUGUUUUUCUAUCAUACAAAACGUAUAAACGUCUAUAAUUAGUACAUGAAUGACACAUACACAUUCCAUAUAGUAUCAUUUUAGGAAGUGAUUUAACAAGUAACAAGAGGGCUAAGAGGCAACGUUGAAUCACUUUUCUUUUGUAGAAUUAAUGAACUAUCAAUUGUACUCAUAGAGGAUUCCCCUAUUAUUUUAUUGUUUGCAAUCACUUAAGAGUCACUUGAUUCUUUACCCAACAAACAAAAAGAGCAGAACUGUAUAUGGAAUCCGAUGGAAACGUGAUAAGGAAGGCUGCAGUAUUUAAAGAUUGAGGAUAUGGCUCUGCAGACUUUUUCAAUAUGAAGGACAAUACAAAAGAAGAAAUCAUGGUAAACUUUAAUAAUUAAUUGGUAUAUGUUUUUGUGUCUGAGUUCUUAAAAAUAUUGCGCCGCAGUUUAAUUAAUUAUUAAUUAAACAUACAAGCACCCACAGUUGAGAAAUUGAAUAGUUUGCCAAAGAGAAUGACUAAUCUCAAUUUAUUCAUUUGUUUAACUAAAAGAGCAUGAGGAAGAAAUCAAGGUUAAAAAUAGUGAGAAUUAAUGUCGAUACUUUUAACUGUCUGUUUGUCUCUUUUUCUUUUCCGAUAAUACUUCCCUGUUGUUGGCCCUCUUUGUUUCUUUCUUCAAUAUUUUCUACUCGGCCCAUUGAGCCCAUAAUUUCCUGUGCUGCUAUCAACUUGUUUUCCCGCUUUUUUCCUUUCAUUUUUCCCUCCACAAUGCUCUCUCUUCUCUAUGCAUCUGCUUCAUCUCUGUUGCACCUGCUAUCUUGCUGCAAUCGAUCUUCUGCAAUCGAUCUUCUGCAAUCUCUCUCUAUUUAGGCUGUGUUUAUUUGCUGGAGUGAGAGUGAGGAGUGUGAAUUCCUCCCACUCCAGCGUUUAUUUCCUUAAAAUAGGAAGGGAGUAGAGCCCCACUCAUUUUUUUAGUGGGGAGUGGAAGUAGGAGUGGGAAUCCACUCCUACCUCUCCCUUUUUUACCCUUUUAUUUUUUUAAUUUAAUUUAAUAUUUUAUAAUUAAUAAAAUAAAUUAAAUAAUAUUAUAUUUAUUUGAAUAAUAUUAUUAUAUUUAUUUGAAUAAUAAUAUUAUAUUUAAUUAAAUAAUAAUUUGUAUUGAUUCUAAGUUAAAAUUAUUUUAAAAUAAUAUUAUUAUAUUAAUAGAGAAUUAAUAAAUAUAAUAUUAUUAUAUUUAUUUUAAAAAUAAUAGUACUAUAUUUAUUUAAUAUUAAUAAUAAUAAAUAGUUUAUUCUAAGAAAAUAUUAAUUUUGUACUAAAUAAUAUUACAUUAUUAUUUUAUAUAAUAAUAAAUUUAAUAUAAUUAUAUUAAAUAAAAUAAAAUAAGGUUUCAUUUUAUAUUAAAAUUAAUAAUUUAUUGUUCAUAAUUAAGAAUAAUAAUAAUUAUAAUAAAUUUACAAAUAUAAUAAAAUAAAUAUUAUUCAUUAAAUAUAUUUUUUAUUAGUUUUGUAAUUAAAAACUAUAAUUCUUUAAAUAAGGAUAAAAUUAUAAUUUGAAACUAUUUACUCCUAAUCCAAGACAAAGUAAAUACAUAAAUUAGAUUCUGAUCUCUAUUCCAUAUUUUCAUUCCAGUGUAAAUAAACAACCUACUCUCACUCUUACUCCACACUCUCAAUCCUAAGAUUCACACUCCUAGGAUUCACAAUCCAAUUCAAAAAAUAAAUGCUACCUUAAUGCUCCCACACCUACUUCUUCCACCUGGCUACCUCUCAUUAGAUUUGAGCAAAUCCCCAUAUUAAUUUGGCUUGGCCCGGAACAGCCUCCACUCUCAUCCCGAUUGGCCCGACCCGUAUUUUUUCGGUGUCGUUACCCUGUCAAAAAAGCAAGAAUUUAAGACGUGAAAAAUACUACACUUUUCAAGUCAUAUAUACAUACAUGUAAGGUUUAGAGGAAGAUCUAUGAGUACCUCCGAGAUACUGGGUACCCUUAUCUAAUAGAUCAACUUCGCCAAAAUGAAUCCUGUUUCCAUUGAGAUUGAGGAAGCUUCAUUAUUGGACAACAAUGGCGAGAUCAGUCAGUCGCAAAUAGACCCAAUUUUGUUCAAAGUUGCAGCUGCGGGCAAUUCGGAGCCCUUCAAAGAUAUGGCAAGAGAGGUAAUUGAGAGCUUGUUAACAGCAAAGACCAAAAACACAAUCCUGCAUAUCAGUAUCAUAUCCCAAGAAAGAGAAAACGUGUCAACGAAGUUCGUAGCAGAAAUACUUGAGAAAUGCCCAUCGCUGCUACUACAAGUUAAUGCCAAAGGCAAUACUCCACUUAACGUUGCUGCAAAAUUCGGCCAUUCUGAUAUAGUAAGGGUUCUUGUUGAAAGAGCAAAAUUACCUCAACAUGAAAAUGAAGAGCUAGAGAGCGGGGUAGGAGCUGCCAGGCAGAUGAUUAGGAUGACAAAUAAUGAGAAGAAUACAGCACUCCACGAGGCGGUGUGUCACCAAAACGUCGAUGUGGUGGAAAUACUGACGAAAGAAGACCCUGAUUAUCCAUAUUCUGCAAAUAAUUACGGCAAAACGCCACUCUACAUGGCUGCUGAGUCUCGGUGUUCUAAUAUGGUGCUUGCCUUAUUGGAAAACAGCACAUCAGUGUCUCACGAAGGCCCCAACGGAAAGACGGCUUUACAUGCUGCAGCAAUGGAAUUUCCUUUCGGUAAAUUUAGUACCCUUUCAGUAGGAAUUUCAAUAUUGAUAUCUUUCUAUUAAUAGAUUCUUUCCAUAAUGUUCAAGUAAAUACACCCUUUUAAUUCAUUAAUAAAUUAUUAAUUGUCAUAAAUUUAAUCAUGAUAAAUUGUCAGAUAUAAAUUAGUAUUUUAAAAUACUAUAAUAUCCCACAUUGAGGAGAAGUAAGAGCAGUUGAAUUUAGUUUCAAUUAAUUACUUGGUUGAAUUGCUUACAAAUUAGAUGUGAAUAAUUCAAUUUUAUUUAUGAUUGAAUCAAAUUGUGAGACUCAUACUGACUAAUUUAAAUUAAAUAUAAAAAAAAAAGUAGAUAACGAGUUCAAAUUUGAGUUAGGAAAAAGUUAUGUAGUUUUGAUACAUUUGAAGCCUUUAAGGUGGGUUUGAUAGUUCUAUUGUUUUAAAUAAUGUUCUUUACUGCUAUCUCAUCUUUCUUCACCAAUUUAUUUUCUUUUACGAUUCUAAAUUGUUAUCCUUGAGUGCAUGUAACGACCUACCCGAAUUUCAAAGGUGAAUCUAACUACGGUUAACAUAUAAACUUCAACGGCUGAUCGGCAACAAAUCGGCCACUGUUUGAUGGUCAAAAAUUGAAGUGACUGCCAUAAAGGACAAAUCCCAGGUGACGACAUGACCGAAAUCCUGUGAAAACUCGCCGAUUUGAGUCGUCGUCCUCCGUGACUUAACACGGGUUUGUGGGGUGGUCAUAGGCUGUUAACAGCAACAAUGAUGAUGGGGGAAUGACUGGCAUCGUCUGGGAGUUCGGUUGAUACCCUCCAUUGCCGGAGAUGUGGCCGGAAUCGGAAGCACCGAUUCAAGUUUCGUGAACGGGUUGACCUGACCCGUUUCUCUCUCCUCUGACCCGAUCGCGCACGUUGUCUCUCUCACUUAACUCUUAAUCCAGUUAAUGACUAAAUACCCUUAGGAGAAUUAAUUUUCUGAAUAAUGACAAAAAUACUCUUAAUUUAUGAAGAAAUUAAGUGCUGUUAUGAAGGAAUUAAUUUUUUUACUGCGAAAUGCUCCUAAAAAAUUAAUCUUUAGAACUGUAAAUACAGUGAAAAUUGGUCUUUUGGAUGAUAACUAAGAUAGGGAAAGUUGGUUUUAGGAUAAUUAGAUUCACCGAAUUAGUCUUUAGGAUAGUGCUUCAAACAUGUCUCAAUGAAUUUUGCAAAAAUUGUUAUUUCUAUAUGCAAAAUCAGGGAAAUGAUUGCAAGUUCUUAUUUUGUUAAAUAACAAAGUUACCGAUCUAAAGCCAUUAUUCAUUACUCAUCGUGUGAUUGGUGUUGGUGUUGUUGCUCUAGACUUCUGGCUGAUUUGGAAUUUAAAAAAACUAUUUUAUUUUCCUCAUAUUUCCAACAUAAAUAGCCCCCCAAAUAUAGGUCAUUUAUGAAUAUUUACUUUUAUUAAAAGUUUUCAUUAUUAAUUGAUUUAUCUUCUGUAUUCUCAGCUAAUGCUGCAUUCCAAAAAUUACUUGAGGAAAAGAAGAAUCUGAUCAAAGAAACAGAUCAAUAUGGGUGGACUCCAAUUCAUUACGCUGCAUAUCAUGGAAAUUACUGGACGAUAAAAUUGCUAUUAGAAACCGAUCAAUCCGCUUCGAACAUUGCUGACAAAGAUCGAAAGAUGACAGCUCUUCAUUUGGCAGCGGGCCAAGGGCAUGCCAAAAUAGUUAAAGAAAUUCUUUCCGUCAAUCCAGAAUGUUACGAGCUGGUCGAUAACAGGGGAUGGAAUUUUCUCCAUUAUGCUAUGGUUAGUUUUCAUGUUGGACAACUAAGAAAUCUUCUUGAAAAUAAUCCGUUAGCGAGGAGUCUUAUAGAUGAGGGGGAUGCCAAGGGAAACACUCCUCUCCAUGUGCUUGCUGCUGUCCGUCCAAAAGAAUUCGAUGUCGAUUUGGUUAGGAAGACUCAAACCAACUAUGACGCUGUCAACAAACAAAAUGUUAGUGUUAGACACAUUUUAGAUUAUGGCUAUCCUGAGCUCAAGGUAAUUAUUUAAUUUGUUCUUUCAACUAAUUAUUAAAUUUUAUUUUUUUACGAUAUUAAUUAAUAUUCAAAUAUAAAUUAAUUACAGAAAGAAAUCCAAAAAUUAUCCAAAGAUGUUGGCAGAGGACAAUAUUCAAAAGGUGUUAGAAGAGUAGUGCAAAAGUGUGUUACUAAAGAAAAUUACAAGGAUACAAGAGCAUCACAUUUGGUAGUGGCUGCACUCAUAGCAACAGUAGCCUUCGCAGCAGCUUUCACCAUUCCUGGCGGUUAUAGAAGCGAAAAUGGAACUGCAAUCCUGAGGAGAAAUAAAGCUUUUCAAUUAUUUAUGGUAGCAGAUUCCAUUGCCAUGGCCUUUUCUCUUUCUGCCGUCGUUACUCACUUCUGGUUGUCUUAUGUAACUGAAGAAACUAAAGAUUUCAAUGAGGAUUUGUUCCACGCUUCCAUUUGGUUCACCUUAUUGUCCAUGGGAGCAAUGGUGAUUGCAUUUGUUACGGGCACAUAUGCAAUGUUAGCCCCUUCUUUAGGCCUUGCUAUUAUCACUUCUUUAAUUGGCCUGAGCUUUUUCUUUCCUGCGAUUUCGCUCAUCAGAAAUAAUCAGAU